RNAcentral lists this long non-coding RNA (54214 nucleotides) under Coffea arabica (coffee). RNAcentral's name for it is "long non-coding RNA (CARA_LNC005255)". The record is from RNAcentral. Lineage: Eukaryota; Viridiplantae; Streptophyta; Magnoliopsida; Gentianales; Rubiaceae.
UUUUUUUUUUUUUUUUUUUUUGCGGGAUAACUCAAGGAAUUCUAGGAAGAAUAUGGCUAAACCCUCUAAUGUUCGUCUAGGUUAGGUAUCUACAUUAGUAAACUGAUUGAAGCCACAUUCAAAUCGGAGAUCGAUGAUGAUCCAAUAAUACGAGGAUUGGCUCAAAGUUAUUCCCUAGUUAGGAGAAUUUUGCUAAUUCUUCGUUUUUCUUUUGGGUACGUAAAAAAAAAAAAAAAUUUUAAACAAAGAAAUUGAGAAUCGAAUUAAAAACUUCUUCCUUUUAUUAUUAUUUGGUUGAUUCACUUUUGUCUUCUUCCUUUUAUUAUUAUUAUUUUUUUGUAGUGAUCUGAUCACUUAAUUAAAAUUCAGGAGCGCUUCUAGUAAUGUGAGGGCUUAUUUGGAUAGUGAGUUUUUUGCACAAUUUUAUUUGUUUACGUUAUCAGUAUAUUUUUCAAUCACAUUUUUAUUUCACGCAUAUCAUAUAAAAAAAAAGUGAUAUAGUAUUUUUAAAAAAAAUUUAUUUCAAAAAAUAAUCUGCUAUCCAAACACACUUUUUAUUAAACUAAACUAAUUGAUUAACACAGUAAUGUGAAUGUAAAGCCCUAGGAUUCAUCAAUCCUUGUCGCGAGGAGCUUGUAUUCAUUUAAUAAUAGUGGAGAAUAUGUGUCAAGUAUAGAUGAUAGAUUCACUUGCGUUGUGAUGGUAAGAGUCCUCGUUCAGUGCCAAGAAUUUCGUGCCAUCUUUUAUCACAUGGUCUCUUAAUAAUUAACACGACAUAGGGCACGUUUUACCAAUCAAAUGUGGAAUCAACAAAGGCAUUCUGUUCGUUGAGGACCUAAGGUUAUUGAAUAAGGUACCUUUGAUUCAUAUUCUUGAUCAACAUCAUCGAAUUAUAUGCAUUGCAUUAUGCCCUGCAUCAUCAUUGAGCAAAGGAAACACACCCCUCACCCCUCAGUUGAGAUAUUUUCAAUUGCCUCUUUAGACAACUCAACUUAAUUAGAUUUUAUAUAUCAUAAAUUUUGCAUAUAAUUAAAUGUGUGAGAUUAUAUUAUAUUAUAAAGUUUUAACCUAGUUGUCGACGAGGUUGAGAAUCUAUGAGUUAGAGAUUCUGAAUUUAAGUAAAUCUAUAUUAGAUUUCAAUCUUCAAUCCAUUAUUUGUGAGUUAUAAAUUGGAAUAUCAUUAAACCAUUUAUUUUUUUGACCAUUAUGAGUUACUCAUAGUUAUUUAUAUGAAGAAUAAAGUUAAUAUUUCGGCUAGAAAUGUUCAAAGGAGUACCUUAGAGAAGUGACUUCUUAAUUAGACAACAAAGUGCAGACUAUUUGAUAAGACGUUUACGAGUCAUCAAGGAAGCAAGUAAAGUAAAAAACCACCGUUGAUCAUCUUUGUGAAAAAAAAAAAAAAGUAAUAAAAAGGGUGACUUCUAAGCAUUUAACAAAUGUUCAAAAGGGCAAAGUUCAAACCGUUGGAGGUAUUGGGGAAUCUUGAAUAAUCAAUACUUAAUUGAUUAAACUCUCUCAACAUUAUUGUUCAAUAAUUUAACGUGAGCUAGUUUGUGCCGUUAUAACCUCUCUCGAUAAAAUAAUUGACGAAGUAAUAUUUAUUUGCAAAACGACUUCAAUAGAUGAUACCAUUUCGAGCAGAUACCUCUUGUUGAUUAGGCUCUUUGGAGAUGCUAAUAACAGUUCCAUUAGAUCGACUUUACGGGGGAAUCUUCAAUAAUCAAUACUUAAUUAGUUCGCAGUUCCAUUAACUCAUCCACCAUACAGGGGAAUCUUGAAUAAUCAAUACUUAAUUAGUUCAUAGGAUUCCAUCUUCAUUUAACUACUCUAUUGUUAAUUUGACAUAGUUUUACUGCCAACUGUGUGUCGUAGAACCAUUUAUAAAAUAAAAUAAGCGUAUGUGUUAGGUACCCGUCAUAGUUAAUGCACAAUAUAAUACUUUUUUAUCCUUUGACUGUGCACAUCAUUCUUUAUUUAUACUCGUAGUAGUACUGAUUAUGUCUUGAUUCGACUCUCACGCCCUUCUUUUUUUUUUGGUGUAUCUAAAAUUUUUAUAUUUAUAUCUAUUUUCAAAAAAAAAAAAAACUAAAAUUAGGUCUAGAACAACACACCAACAUCACAAACCCCCUUUUAUUUUGAGGGUUUUAAAUUCAGAUCUAAAAUCAUAUAAAAUAAUCAAACGAGAACACCCAAUAAAGGGCACUACUAGUAGUACAGCAUUAUUCCUCCUGUCCUGGCCCAAGUCGAAGCUUAACAGAAAAGACUUAUGGAGGAAUUAAUAAGUAAUAGUGUCGACAUGCUCUGUCAUUUGGUCGCCAUAGCCCUUCACGUGUGAACCGUGAAGUGAAGGGCUGCUUGUUUCUUAGGCAGCAAGUUUCGAUACAGUCCGAGGUUGCUCGCAUUUUGCCGCCGCUGUUACUGUUAUCUUUCGAAGACAAACAAACUGCCCCCUUUUGUCUCCUUCGUUUAAACCGCCAUUACCGAAGCAAACAAGUUGAAGUUAUCAUCCUUUCAUACCUGUGUUGUUCACAUUAUACUACUAUUAUUUAGUCUAUUAAAUGUUACUUGGCAAUUUCUUGUUGGUUUCCCAUAAAGCAAAACACACGUAUGAUAACAUAUUUGUAUUGUUUCAGAAAAAGUAGCCAAGAUUAGUACUAGUAUACAAGACAACAUAUUUGUAUGACUUGAAACAGUUUGGAUUAGCUGUUUUUGGGAGUGUUUUUGAAAAACUUUAUUGUAACAGAGUUUUUAGAGUAUAUUUUGAAAUAUUUUUUAUUGACACUUUAUUAUGAGAUAUUUGGUAAAAUUUUAAAAAAAUUUAAACUAAUUUUUAGAUUAUCUUUUAGAGUAUUUUAUUGUAACUUUUAUUGUAUUUGAAAAAUUAAUUUUUGAAAAACACUCCAAAAACAGGAGAUUCAAACAGAGCCUUAUUUGAAACGAUUUUUUCAUUUUUAGUACUCCUAUAAUUCCAAACGGAUUCCUAGAAUAAUGAUUUGACUAUUAUGUGGAAGAAGAAGUCAAGGGCGGGGGAUUCCCCAGGGAACAGGCUGGUUAUUUAUCUCUAUUAUCAGAGCAUCGGUCCGGCGGUCAAAAAGGAAAGAAGGCGGGGCGAAGUUCACGGGAAACCACUUAAUGCAUUCCAUUCUAUCUUGGCGGCCAAGGAAGUAAUCAGUAGUAGACUAGUAGUCCAUAGAUUAGAAAAAGAGGUCAAGAGUCUUGCUAGAAUACCAGGCAGGGCUGGGCGGUUGUCAGUUAGACAAAUAUGAAGCAAUUUCUUUUUCUAGAAGGUGAGAAUGGAAUUUACUGUAUAUUACAAUGUACACCAACUAAAAAUUUAACAAUCACUACUGUGAGUUACUUAUGUAUUUUUUUUAAUAGAAAAAAGUGGGAUUUAAGAAGCAAUAUUUAAAGGAGAAAGGGAGGUUUGAAUUCAAGAUUUUUUUUACUCACUUGAUUAAGGGUGAGUUUGAUAAAAUUUAAAUUUGUUAAGUUACUAAAUUGUUUAGUUCUGAAACAUUAAUAUUUGAGCAUUUUUUUAUAUUAAGUAAUAAGUGUACAGUUUAUUAUUUAUUUUUUUGGAGAAAGUUUUGCCUAAAUAAUUUAGAACUUAUUCUAUUUUUUUGUUAUUAAACGUAUCUGAACAUAUUAAAUGUCAAUCCAUUAAAUUUAAGUGUGGAAUAUAUUUUUAUAAAAUGUUAAUAACACUACUGCUUUAUUUGCUAAUGACAACAAAUUGAUUUAUUAACUUAUGUGAUAAGAUAAAAAUGCCUUUAUUUUUUUAUAUUAGUUAAAACUUUUCAUAAAAGGGGUGGAUUGUAAGCGUAACGAUAUUUUUGUUUAAUAAAAAGGUGGAAAAAAAAAAAAAGAAGAAGAAGAAAGGUGCCUGGUAUUAGCAUCAAUUGUCAAUUGUCACUCAACAGGAGAAGCAGCAAUAACACAGCUGAAAAUCAGAGUGGCUUUGAUCUGAACAAGAAAAGAAGGACAAAGUUUCAGAGUUCAAAUUUACCUUCCCAACAGAUUGGAUCCUACCAAUUUUGUUGUAUUGGAAUUCAGGUCAUGUGGCUUCAUCUGUCACCAGCCUAACACCAUACACCUAUCCAAUUGCGCGUGCAAUCGAGACCACUUUUUGUGUCGGCCCACAGUUUGAAGACAUGUGUGUUGACUACUACUGGCCCACUUGGUUAACUUGGCUUUUCUUGCUCAGCCUCUAGCUAGCUAGUAUUGCUUAUAUACAAAAUUUCAUGUCACAUCCUCCAACACCUAAGUCUUAACUCGACUGAUAGGGAAUUAACCAGAUAUUAGGUCCUUGAUUUAGUCCUCUUGGAAUCGAAAUGUGCUUGAAGUUUAUAUGGUGGAUGUAGGGUCAAAAGGGUAGGAUUUGCAAUAAUCUCGAACAAUUGAUGUUUAGAAUAUCAUCAUAUUAGACCGAUAAUUGUAUGAAUAAUGUAAUAUUAGCGCAGUCAACGCCUUUUUAACGGAUACAUUUUUUUUUUUGCUUCCUCUAAAUUUGCAAAUGUUAUACUGCAUGUGAUAAACGUAAGUAAUUUUUGAUUUAAAGAGAGAUUUCAGAUCUUACGAGAGAAAGAGAAGGGAAAAUGGAAAGAUUUGAAGAUCGAAUCAGAAUCCUCAUUCCUCAUUGUUACGUGAGUAACAUCUACCCCGAAUAAAUUGCAUCUUGGAAACGACAAAUAUGCGUAACUGUUUGGAUUGUAAGUUAUUUGGGAUUAUUUAGGAUAUUUUUACUGUAGCACUUUUUGUGAUGUGAUGUAUGUGAGAUAAAAAGAUAUUGGAAAGAUAAAAAGGUGUAUUGAAAAUUGUAAAGAUGAUGUAAGCAAAUAAAAUUGGAGAAAUAUGAAGCAAUCCAAACAAACCUGAGGAUUGGUCUUUAUUUCCCCAAAUAUAUUUGCUUACAUCAUCUUUACAAUUUCCAAUACGCCUUUUUACCUUCCCAAUUAACUUUUCAUCGCACAUACAUCACAUCACAAAAAGUGCUACAGUAAAAAUAUCUCAACUAACUUACAAUCCAAACAAACUUAUUAUGAUAGUAGUAUACAAUUCAGUCUAAACCACUAAAGAAUAUUGUGUUUAAUUUUGUACGAUGCGAUCAUCUUCAUGCCCCAUAUCCAAAUCCGUGGGUAUUGGGUGGUUUUGACUCUGAACCAUGUUGAAGAAUUGUUCAACCUAAUAUUUUUGUUUGGAACGCGUGUUAGAAUAUCUUCGUUAGGGAUAUAAACGAGUAUAAUCAGAUCGAUCAUUCUGGAAACUUAAACUUAUUUGAUUAUCUCAACGAUUUUGAUAUUUAGUUCAAAUUUGACUUAUUUAUUUGUUAAAUCGAAUUUAAACAGUGUUAUCGAAUAUAAAAUAUAAUUUAAUUUUAAUUUAAAUAAUUGACGAAUCAAAUUCAAAUGAAUUCUUAUUAAAUUGGACUAAUUUCGAGUAUCAAAAAUAAUUUCGCUCAUCUUUAAAUUCUAGUUUUCCACAGCACAACCACCACGAUUGUGGCCCAUUCAAAUGAUUUGAUAUUGGUAAAAACACUAAAAGGUAUUGCUUGACAACUAGAUGCCAGUAGUGUUACAAAGAUUUUCCGCAUUUUGGGACUACGGCAACUGCACCUGCUGCAGUUUUUGUAAUGAUGAUAUUAUGAUAGUGGGGUGGAACCAAUUAUUAUGGCCUUAGCAUUUUCUACUUAGCCGAUUCUUUGAAAGGAAUGUGGUCAAUCCACCACUCUCUUCCAAACAUCAGUUGUCUCCCUGAGUUACUGUAGCAACUUUUUUGCUUAAAUAUUUCUAUUUCAGUUUGCAAAUGCUGAAACUUCACAAACAUUUGUUUGAAGUACAACGAAUUACCACAUCAAAAAACCUCACUUGUUGGAGCUCUAACUAUUUGUUGAUCGAUUCUAACUCGAUGAACUCUGCGGUUAUAUGAGAGCCAACCGCUUCUCCGUCUUAGGCAAAUCCGAUUUAAUGGUAGGUUGACCAUUCAAUAUAUGAUAUAAUAUGAAUCUGACCUAAUUGCGACGCUGAUACAGUAGUGAUUAGAGACCAACUAUCUUGAAUUGAACUUUGAGGUGUCAAAAUUGAAAUGACAAAUGCUCUAGCUGAAUAGUGAUCAGAUGAAAAUAAAAUUUCUCUCACAAUCUUGUUAGUGAAUUACUGUUCAAGGGUAACACAAACUGCUUUGUUUGGAUUGCAUUUUUCUGAAUUUUUUUUGUAAAAAAAUCACUGUAACGAUUUAAUAUAUGUGAGAUAAAACAGUCAUUAAAAAAUGUGUUCACGGAAGGGACACGUUGCAAUCCAAACACAUGAUUUCAGCAUGAAUGGGAAGAAAUGGACAAAUUAGCAGAGAAUAAACUACCUAGAAAAUUCCUACACUAUUCUAAUAGUUAACUUUUAGCUCCUCAUUUAUUUGAAGUCUUAAAUUAAUUCUUCAAUAAUUAAAAGGAUCAAUUUUUUUUUAAAAAAAAAAUUCUUCAGUCCAUUCCCACCAUUAGAUGCGUCAAAAUUUGCCCUUUGAUACUCAUGACCAUUAACGAUGGACACAGACUAAAGGAUCAAAAUUUAAUGCUUUCUGUUAUUGAGGGCCAAAAGUUGAUGAUCGGAUUAGUUCGAAAACUAUCUUUAAGUAGUUUACCCAAUUAGCAUAUAUCAAGAUUUUGGAGUGCUAACUUUAGACCCUACCCUCCCCCCCAAAAAAAAGGAAUAAACAAAACCCCAUUAUUUGGCUCUUUGAACAAAAAAGGGUCGAAAUCUUAACUUCCCUCGUUAUGGAAGGCCAAGUUUGCUAGUUUAAAAUUCCACUUAAGCAAGUAUUGUGACAAGAAACAUUAUUAAUUGUUUAGUUUUCUGCAAAGUGUACCAUAAAGAAACUUGAAAACUUCAGUUGCUGUUUCUGCAUUGUCUAAUUCGUAUCUUGUCCCCACAAAAUGAACUUAUCAAAAGCUUACAACAAAAAAGCAACCUAUGUGAAUUGCAAUCAGAUAGCAAACUUAUUCUUUUCUCGAAUUACUUAUCUUUGUCUAGAGAACUCCCUAGAGUUAGCCGGCCUUACCACAUUGUUUAUUCCUUGCUAAAAAAAACAUAUAUACCAUCAGUAGAAUUUACAAAGUAGAAGGGAAAAAAUUGACAGAUAUACUAGAUGCCAAAUUCACUAGAAGGAAUCUAUUUUCCAAAAAAUGUGACAAGUAACCAACAUAACUGCCGAUCCAAACUUUGUAUAACUUUCGGUUUUGAUGUGAGCCCUUGAGAAUGAAAUCUCAGGGUGACUGUGUGACGCCUGGAUUUGUGGUCCAAAUCUCUACAAAUUAAUAAGGAUUAUACGAACUUAUUUGUUAUCUGCAGGGUCCAUAUCUUUCUCCCGAAGUGGGCAAUCCACAAACAAAAACCCUACCCUCAAGUGUGAUCCUUCUUUCUUUUUUAUCUAGAUAUAUCGGUUGUUUGUCCUCUUUGAUUGCUAUCAACAUCAGAUAUUGCAGCAUAUAAAUUUAGUGAACGCAAACAUUUGAGAAAUAAAAAGAUUUGAUGCACAAUAAUACGUGAAAAUUGUGAUUGAUGCAUGGAACUCUAUAUAUAUACAUGCAUACUGUUUCUGAGUUCUAAAAUCUGCGAUUAAUGAUGUGAAAAAAAAAAAUUUUUUUUUUGAAAGAUUUUAGGAUUAUUCCUGCAAUUAGUCUUGGAUGUCAAAAUUUUGGAAUUUCAAUGGAGGAGAGAGUGAAAAGAAAUCAAGAAAAGAGAAAGUAACGCGGCUUAAAGGACCCGCGCAGCAUAAAAGGCCAGAUAAUAUAAUUGGACCCUUAAUUAACUUUCCAAACCACCAUUUGUGAUGCUUUCUUCUUGAUAAGUUGAUGUAAUUGUGCUUUCAUGUCAAUUUCUAAAAGUGAAGAGCAAAUAGUGAUUCAAACAAUUCGAUGAAUACUUAAGUGCCUAUAAUGGUCUCUGGGAGCUAGGGUACUUUAGUGCCUAAAAUGCAGCAUGCUUUAAUUCUAGUUUUAGAGGAUCCUCUUUUUGUUGUCUUUAAUUAAACAAUGGUAGUCCUAACACUUUAACCUAUUAGUUUGCAGUCAAGUUUAUUUAGGGUAAAAUGGAGUUAAAUCACAGAAUAUACAUGAGUGAUUGAGCUCAAAGUCACGAGUUAGAAUAAAAUCUAUGUCAAAAAGCUCAACUCAAUUUUAUUAAAUGUUCUACUUUGUUAAUUUAGAGGUAAAACUAUUAGACGCUACAAAUGUCUUCCACCUAAAAGAAUACAACAUCUUUUAGAUUAUCACAUUUUUGUUUGGAGAUAAGGAUUUCAUUAUGUCUAUUGUAAUUAACAAAUGCUUGACCAGUUUCAAGCUUUUCAUCAUUGAAGAGUUUAGUCCCAAGCUUGAUUCACAUGACUGUAUAAUGGUUCAUUAAGGAAGUGAGAUGAGAAAGGGUCUACGAUGUGAUGAGUAGCUCAAUUUGCUCGCUAGCUACCAAGUCGUCAAGAUAAUGCAUACAAUUUUGUUAUUGACAGAAUCAAGCAAGUUUUUUCUUUUUCUUUUUUUUUGCUUCCAUGGAUCAUGUUGUUGUUCGAUAUAUUGUAUGGUGUUUGAUGGGAUGAUCUUUAUUUGCUUAAUUUGAAUACCAAGAUUUCACUGCCAAACAGAGAAAAUCUCAAAACGGAAACAAUUAAGUGGAGUUGUUGUUUUCUGGAAUCAAACAAAAAGCAAAGCAUUCCAACCAAGCCACACAUCAUUCCUGUUGCAAAGUUACAUUUGAUGGCAUUUUUCCAUCAUACAACUUACUUUUUCUCAAUUUUUUUAACUCAAAACAAAGUCUAUACCCCAAAGUAAAAUUGUUUAUUUAAAAGUAAAUGAUGGGACUUGAUCAAAUGAUAAGGUUAGCAAAAGUUAAAAUACGUAGGUCUAGGCCCCUAAUUAGUUACUACUUCAUAAACGUACUUAGAUUUUUUGAAAGCCCCGGAAAGUACAAUUGUCUUUUUAUCGCUGAGAUAACAUUAUUAUUAAAUCUCCUUUCAGAAAUACAAUAUUAUUCUAUUUCGCAUAUGUAUCUUGCUUUAAUCAUCCACAGUGAAAUGAUUUAAUUUUUAAAUAUCAAUUAUUUAUGGUACAUUCUAAGUAUGUACAAAUCUCUAAAAGCUGAAACACUUAUACGAUUAUGCCUAAGAAUAGAACAAGAUAUACCUGUGGGAUCUAGAGUCAUUAUGAAAAUGAUGAGAAAAGAGGGGAUAAGUUCAAUUGAUCGAACUAUUCUAGCAUAAUUAUGAUGGUCAGCUGGUACAGAUAGACAAUACUACUAUUAUGGAAAUAUUCAUGGUUCUUAUCCUCAAGCCCUCCAAACUUCUUUGAACUGGAUAUGUCCUGAAUGUGAGGAAAUUAAGAAAAGAAUCAUAUAUUUCGUGAAAAUUGGAUGCAGAUUCCAAUUCUAUAAAAGAUCAAAUAUCAGGGUUUGUACCAGAUCUCCUUAUAAGAAUGCGAUGCCUUCAUCUUUCAAGGUGUAGAUUAUUCAAAUAAGGCAUUAUUGUAUAUCUUCAUAUGUCAAGCUCACAUCAAAGAUCUCUAGUGCAAAUCAAUAACUUCGUUAAGUUGUAUGCAUGUCUGUAUUUUGGAGAAUAACGUGUUAUCAGACAUUUGGAGAUGGGAUUCGAUCUCAAGAACAUAAAUCCUUAGGCUUAGAUUGAGUCAUAAUAAGAGAUUGCCAAAGACUUCCUUGUCAACUGAGCUUCACCAUCCUGUUUAAGAGAUCACAUGAAUAUUACUUACUAAAAGAUAGCAGGGAUAUGAAAAGUCUGCUGUAUAAAUAUCCAAACAAUUUGCAACUUUUGAUCAUCAAACUAGCCUUAUCCGAAAACAGCCAAUUAACUGAACAUAAUCAUUGUUCAUAACCACACAUGUCAUCUGAUAUUGCAUGAUCUCCACACAUACAUCCAAAAAAACACACACAUAAAUCUCUUCAUCCUUGAAAAUAAAAAAUUCCAUUUAUCCACUAGGAUCUAUAGGCGGCAUAUCCUUCCAACACGGGCAUGCAUAGUGGAGAACUAUAUCUUCACUAGCUAGUUAGAGUGUACAAGUUUGUUUCUUUUGCUAAGCAGUCUCUCCAAUCUUCCAUGUGCUUUGCCUUUUUAUCUUCAUGCGUGUUUACACCUUGAAGCUCACUUAGAAAAAAAGGUAAGAAAAAAAGCCAACAACUGAAGCAAAAUCAAGAUAGAACAAACCUUUUUACUUUAUUUAUUUAUUUUUUGAUAAUCUUUUAAUCUCAAUAUCUCAAUGCCUUUUGGCCCUUUUUCCAACUGAAACAGUUGGUGAUUUGAAACAAUGGAGGGACCUUCCUACAAGGUUCCAAGUCGGCAUUGUGACCUUCCACGUGGAUGGCAAUAACGUCAAAAUUUUAAAUAAUGAAUCGAGAUUAAGUAUGAAAUUAUUGUUGUUAUUUAGGUGACAUGAAAUUCCUUACUUUAAUUAACUAAAAAAAAAAGAUUAAUUGAUAGGGUGAUUACAUAGCCUAGGUGAUUUGAUUUGAUCUAUAUCAAAAGAUCAACUAAAUAAACGAAAAAAGAUAGAAGGAUGUGGGAUGAACUGUCCACUUAUUCUGCUCUUUAGUCUUUACUACACGUGUGCAUUAACCUUAAUCGGAUGCUUCAACCUAAGCCAACAGGAUUAUAGCUUUUAAUCUUGCCAGGCAAAUGCUGCGUCGUUGCUUUAAGUGUUAUGAUCAAGCACGUCCAGAUCAAAACUAUGCAUCAGCAUAUUUUGAUCACAGCUUAGGGGAAUUAAUUGCUGAUAUGUUUACGCCAUAGCCGCCUCCAAGUUAGUACUAUAAGUUUGCCUUUUCAUACCAAAAAAAUUUUUAGUACGUACGGUGCGCUACGUGAUGUACAUGAAUCAUUCAAUACCUUGUAUAAAAUUUUACGUAUUAUCUUGCAUUUAUGAAAGUUGGCUGUUCAAUUUAGUCACAAGUGACAUUCCCUAUUAAUUGUAGCAGGAUUCGAAUGCUCUACAGUUGCACCUACAACUACACUGCAGAGAACUUUCAUUUCAAUGACUGGGAUCGAUCGAUUGUAGUAGUCAUUCAUUAUGCUUCUAAGUUCUAACACCAUAGCAGAUUAAAUUAUGAAGAAGAGAAUUGUUGAAUAUAAGUUCUUCAUUAACGGAUUUCUGUCUAGGACUGCUACCUAUAUGACAAACUCUUCCCAGCCCAAGAAUCAUCAAGGUAUCCCUGCAAAUCCUACUACAGUAUUGAGCAUCAAUUCCUGCAUCAUAUAUUUGAUCACCUUGGCAAAUAUCCAGCAACAACCCCGUAGAAUAAAUGCUACCAAGGGAUUCCAAUUGACCAAGCGUUUUGUUCUUCCGAAUAUUGGACAAACUAAAACCUACCCAUAUUGCAAGGUCUACGCAUGCAUAUAGCCGAACGUAUACCUUUCAAAGAAUUCUUGACGGUUGACUGAAUACAUUGGUUAAGCCAUAAAGUUUAAACCUUGACCAACUUAUUACCUAAACUAUUUGCUUUUCUCACUCUCCCCCAAGUUGCUAAUUAGUCAGUCAAUUGUUGCCGAAUCAUGAUCAACUAUAAGUCGAAAAAGAAUUAUUUCUUUUGGGUUCACUUUUUAGCUAAUGAGGUGUGAAGAUUAGAUACCCUUAAAAUCACAAACAAAUAAGAAUCCGACACCAGAAAAGAUGUUCUUCGAAGAAUAGAAUUAAUCCAAUUUAUAAAAGUACUUCUUUUCAAAUUUUUUUUUUUGAGAUUCUCGUCAAAAGUUCUAUUGUCAAAUGCCGCGUGCCAAAUGGAGAACACAACUCCAAACUGCAGCAUCAGGGGAGUUUGUUUUGAGGGUUUGAAAUUCCAUUACUUGUGCAAACUGAUUACAUGGGAGAUCAGAAGUUUUAGGUUGUGUUCUCGAACUUGCUGGUAUGAAUCACCUUAGUCGGAACCUUUCAAAUAAAGACGACGUUAAAAAAUCAACCUUUUCUACGUCAGAAGAUAGUAGCAUGUAAAUUAAUUGAUAGGGGAUUUGGACCAACAUAGAUGGAACUUUAUGUCCUAGUGGAGUCGCGUACCAUUGGAUUUUUUGCUUCAACAAUCAAGGUUUUAAGAAAAUUUUGGGUACUUCUUGGAUAUUUGGUUAUACCCAUUACCAAAUUUCUGCACCUUUGAAGAGAAUUAAGGAUCAAAGACAUUAUAGCUUCCAAAACAAUUUUCUUUUUUUAUUUUAUUGGAUUAUAUUUUUGCCUAAUAGCUUUUUGAUUUUCUACUUUAAUCUGUAUCAUGGGUUGCUUCUUCUUUUUUUUUUUUCCAGCUCUUUCUUCUUCUUAUUACAUACAUGUAAGAGAUUGUUGUACGAAAAAUUAAUUUUUCAUUGAGCUCUCACAUUAGAAAAUAAAUGUUCUGAAGGUAUCGAGGGAUCUUCGAUUUCUUUUCUCAAAGUACAUUUCUCAACAUAUAAAAAACAAAACGUAAGCCUCUAAACCCUACAAAGUUUCUGAUAGGAAAAUAAGCAAAUGUCACAGUCCUGUCCUUAUGGUAUCCAAGCACAAAUUUGACAACUCUUCCUCUUGCUAAACAUUUUUCACGGGCCAGUCGCCAUUCUUGAAAAUUGUGUAGCAAUCUUUGAGGAUCUCCAUGGAACAAAAUCAGAUUAUAUGCUCUUGAGUUUUGACCAUUUUUGUUGAAUCCCUUAGAGGACUUCAUUUUGUCUCGUGUGAUGAUAUGCUGCUGCAUUUUAAGGCCACUUGCAUAGCAUUCCAUUAUUCUUCCAGAACGAAGAUCACCGACCGUACAAAUUAGCAACUUACUUUAGAGGGAGGGAUUCAUAUUCACAUUCAAGAAAAAAAACACCCCAAAUAUUUGGAGCUUUUGAAAUGAUUAAUUAAAAAAAAAAAAACCGACAUUCUUGGAUUAGAUUCUAAUUGUGAUACGGACAUUUGGGCUAUCACAACCUACGAUCUUGACCCCUCCAUGCUUUUGUCUAAAUUGAAUCUUCCUUCGUUAAAUAAAAGUGAAUAGCCCAACAUCAGCCCAUCUCUACUUGGCCUGCACUGAUUUUAGCAUCCAGAGCAUUUGAAGAGUUGCUUGCAUCAAAAUUUUGUAGGGAUGUUUGGUUCUGGGAAUUCACAGAGAGAAAGUCAAUUAGUGUGUUUAGAUAGGAGAUAAUUCGGGUUGAUUUUUUGAAAAAGUGUUGGAUAUGAAAUAAAAAAAGAUUGAAAAAUAUGUUUAUGAUCCAAAGAGACAAGUCUUGUUUCAUCAAAAUAGUUACGUUUGAUUGAUAGACAGAGGAAAUAGAAAGGAGAGGUACACUUGUUGUACAAGACAUACUCCAAAAAGCUGCAAGAACGAGAGAGAAAAAAUAAUUUCUCAUUCAUUUCCUUAACAUGAUAUUCACAAACAUCACCUAUCUCCAAAUGGUGAAACCCAACUUUAAUGGGCAAAUAUUUUCAGUCAUUUGCCAAAGACACAAAUUCCAAAAAAAUGAGCGAAGGAUUGCAGGCUAUUUCGAAAUUUAACCUUUGUGCCUAGGCCCAUUUUAGUGGGCCAUUAUGGAUAUGAAUCUGAAACUCGAGUAUGUUUCUUGGAUCAUAGUUUGAAGUGAACCAGACCAACUCCGGCACCUUCCAUUUUGGGUCAGUAUGAGAUGCAAGGACAGAAACAAUGAAAGAUGACUCCGGUACCUUAAAGUAUCAUUGCAAAGGUACAAUUAAUCAACUCUUUUUCACUGUUUUCUUUUUCUUAAUGAAAAGCAAGACUAGAAUGAUGUAGAGAAAUUUUCCUAAAGAUAUAUAAAUUUUGGUGUUUGUUUAGAAGAUUAUUUGAACAAAGUUUUAAAAUAUUACUGUAACACAUUUUGUGAUCUGAUUUAUGUGACAUUAAAACAAUAUACAGAGAUGAAUUUAUGAUGCAAGACAAAGAUUUCUGGCAAAAAUUAUGCUAUCCAAACAUUCAAUUUUAGCCCUACUUCCCUCGUUCCCAAUGUAUCAACAAAAACUUGAGUAUAACAAUGCAAAGUGAAAUAAAUCAUCACUAACUGGACAUAACUGGUGAGCUUCUAUCCUUCAAGUAUUCAUUAUCCAGACUGUAUUAAAUUUCGGCCAGCCCAGAUGGUCUUUGUGGACUACGGAUAGCUAAAUGAAACAUAUAUGGGCCUACUCUAUCUUUAGCUUGAUUCACCCUGUGGCAUGCAUUCCCAUAGGGCGUUAGCAGGGGCAUUUGAGAUGUUUUCCAACAACAAGCCAUCAUAAACAAACCAAACAACACAAUUCCAUUAAAGUUCUGUUUUGCUCAUUUCCACAGCAAAGAACUGUUGCAACAUUAUUGUCUUUUUUAACCUGAUUUAAAAUGUCAAAGGACCGUUAUUGAUGAAUACUUUUUGCUAUAAAUUUUAGAAAAAUGAUUUAGAAUAUGACUACCACUUUAUGAAUGAAGUAACAAUACUUUCCUGUGCCUGGCAGUUGGGGGUAGGAAGGGUAUGAAAAAGGAUGGGAGCGUAAAACCAAAAAAAAAAAGUAAUAAUAAUUAAAAAGGAAUAUAAUAUCACUCUUUAAAAAAAAUUCUAGCAAGAGAAUUAAGAAACAGGAAGAGAGAAGUAGGAUUUGAAUUCGGAACCACUAACUCCAAGAAUCUCAACCUUUAAUGUCUCACUUCUUAAUUCUUUAUUCUUUCUUCUUCCCUUGAUGGAAUCGAUCGAGCGCCCUUUGCUACUUGCUUAGGAAUCUGGCAUAGCUCUUUCAGGCAGUUUAGCAUUGCUAUGAAGUUUAUUUAUCUCCUCUAAUUUUCAUAAUCACUAGGACUUUUUCAUAUACUCAAUGGUGGAAGUAGGACCUAUGACCAAUGGGAGUAGUAUUAUACAUCAUCAAAAAUUAUGUCAUAAUCAUGGAAAGAGAAAUUUGAUUUGAGAAUAUGUUUGUAUCACGAGUUUUUCUGUGCUGUAAAAGCUUUAACUUUAUUUCUUGUUCAUGUAGUAAUUAAUUUUUAAGGAGAAAAGGGUACUUAGGGGGCAGAACAAUUAGGAAAACAUAAAAGUUCGCAAUAGUUUCAAGGCCAUUCUUUAAAUUUUACAAAAUUAAAGGAGGCAAUUGCCUACCCUCAAUAUAAUCUGGUUCCACCACUGCAAUUGCUGUUUAAGCUUGUACGUUGUGGAUAAUCUCAUCUUUACCACCUUUUGAUGCGAAAUUAUUUGAAGACUGAAUAGCUUCCAUAUAUCAGUCUAUUGCUUGGAUGGGGGCUGGAUUGCUAAUGAUUUUAGUUGGAGUGGUUGUCAAUAUGCUUCACAUUUUCAUUUCACAGCAAUCCCUCCAGUAAUAAUACAUUGUUAAAGAUGGAUAUUAGAGAUUCCAACUGCAGAGAAAAUAGAAGAUAACGUUUUUUGGUAGCAGAACACUAGAACGUGCAUGUUGACAUAGCCCUUCACAUGCGACGCAUAACAACUUGCUUGUAUUUGCAGGGAGAUCCACUGACCAUUAUCUUAUUUUUGGGUUUGGAACAAUUCCUUUUUCCUCUAUUCUGCAGAAAUGGCGGACUUCCUCCAACCUUUUAUCAAUUGUGUUGCUUGCUUGCAAUUUGGAAUUAGGAAGAAAAAGAAUUGAAAUGUUAAGGGGCAAAAAAUAAUGGCUUUGGUUGCCCAGAAAAUGGAAAGAACAAUUCCUCUUUUUUUUUUCUUUUCUUUUCUUAACUGAUUACAUAAUUCAGGUUUCAAAAGGCGCCUAACUCCCAAAAACUUUUCUCUCCACCUUACUCUAACUGGAAGGGUACCAAGUAAGCAAGACAAAAAAACCAUCGAUCCGCACUAAAGAUGACUGCUCAAAAAUAGAAAAAAUAAAUUACGUUAAAGAAGGUAUAAUUAAGAUUCUUUGCUGAUGAACAAUCCUAGUUGAGGUGCGUAGAGCCACCUCAUGACCACCUCAUCAAUGCCUGUAAAGUGAAAUGAUCAAGUAGGGUCUUUAAUUCUUGGCCUUUUCUUUUGGUAAAUGAUCAAGUAGGGACUUGAUGAUCUUUUCUUAAACCCUACAAAAGAAUGACUUUGUGAUGCAAUUUUUACACACUUUCACACUCCUUUUUUGGCCUCUUGCGUCAUACUUCUCCUCGGACAAAGAUAACUGUCAAGUAUAGUAUACAUUCUCACAAAAAGAAGCUCUAAAAAAUUACACAGAAUGGGAAUCCUCAAGGAGUAAAAAGGAAGCAAGAGAAAUUCUGAGGCUUGGCUUUGAAGGAUUCUUGAUGAUGGCCCGAGAAAGGCUUUUCAGAGUCACUUUCUUCUCUUAAGAUUUUUGGCAGCAUGGACUUGUCCUUGCAUGCAACUGCUGUGAAGAAAGAAUAAGAAUAUGGAAUUGAAGAUCUUUUUGAGGUGGGGUGGUACCCUCCAUCCUUGAUCUUUUCGGAGGAUAAGAUAACGCAAUUGUAUUUUUCUAUGACUGUAAAUGUUGGCUCAAAAAUAACCAGUCCUUUCGUUGUUCCCACCUGUCAGUGAAGGCUGUAGAGAUAAGAAAAUUGUUGUAGAAGAACCUCAUCAGUUUGGCAUUCCUCGAUGCUUCCUCUUUUCUAUCCUCUUAUCUAAUGCACAAUUUGUCAUGGUCCCUUCCAAAAUGUAGUAAUCGUUUUAGGUCGCGGGAUUAUCAUUUGCGCCUAGGGUUAAUUUUGACAAUAGUCUCCAAAAACAUAAAAUUUUGUAUGUCAGCAUUAAAGAGAUGGUUGAAAAAUAAAUACAGUUGGAUGAUGUAUUUAAAGAAUUCAAAAACAAAUUGAAAAGAAAGUGGCUGUAAUUUGCAAAGAGGGCGUCCACAAAUAAAAAAGAGAACUAAAUUUUUUUUAAAAAAAAAGAACUUUUUUUAUUCAGCAAAAAAGAAGUGGGACUAAAAAGGCGGGAGUAAGGAUGGCAACUCACAGGCACUUGCCGUGCAAGGGGAGUCAUGGGGUAGGGGGUGAGGCGGGACGAGUGCGAUGGCGGGGGGAAUUUUUCUCCCCCAGUUAUAGACGGAGGGGGACGGGGGAGGAUAUCCCCUCCCUGUCCCUUGUUACUAAUAUAAAGUUUUAAAAAAAUCAAUAUUUUUAUAUAGCUUUAUAUAUAUAUGCAUUGUAACUAUAUAUCAAUAAUGUUUGUGUGUGUAUGUGUAAUUUGUAUGAUAAAAAUGAUUAUUUGGUUAUUUUUAGUUUACUUCAAUUGUUUUCACAUAUUGUAAGUUGUUUAAACGAAUUUGAUGAUCAUAAGUUUGGGUUUGCUAUUAAAAAUAGAGAAAUGAAUUAAAAAAUAUCAAAGUUAUUUUUAAUCUUGAUUUCACAUUGAAUAUUUAGCUAAAAAUCUAAAAAGUGACUUAAAAUGUUGUUAUUGAUAUUGUAUAGAUAUAUAUAAAAUAAUGUCAAAGGAAAAAUAAAAAAUAUAAUUACACAACUGCAAGGUCACCUAUUAGGGUAUGGGUUAGGGUGAAGUAGGGGGCGAAGUAGUAAAAACUAGGGACAAGGAUGAGACAGGGAGGAAGGGAGGGAAAAUUUUAGGGUACUAGGCGGGGAGGGGAGGGAUCCCUCGCCCCAUCCUUACCCUAUUGCCAUCCCUAGUGAGGAGCAGGCCGGGAGACUUAACAAGCGGGGAAGCGUAAGCCUUUUUUAAAAUAAGAAAGUUAUUUUUUAUAUCCUCUAUAUAUAUUACAAAAGUUAUUCCAAUCUUAUUAAAGUUAGUUACACUCACCGCAAACAUGUUUCUAUUCACCCUUACAAGAAAUUAAGCAUAUGUUUUGCCUCUUUGUGAAUUUUUUAAGUCUCAACCGCACCCUUACAUAAGUUCUUUCAAGGACUUUUGGGUAUAUUCUUGAAAGCAAAUGAUAAAUGCACAACAAUCCCUAACGUGUUAAUGCAGCUUAAACAUUCUCCAAAAAGAUGAAUAAUUUCAUAAAUUAAAAUAAAGAUUCCAUGUUAUGACUAAUCACAAAGAUGCUUCACUUGAUUAAUCACACUUUUCUCUACCGUGAGUGGGUAAUCACCCCAAAAAUUAAAAGCAUCGGAUACUUUCCAACACGAGGAAGAAAGUGCAGUUCUGUCAAUCAGACCACUCCACAAUUGGUAAAGCUUGUUGAAUAUGAUUGAAAGUGCAGUUCUUGAAGAAAGAUUUAUUGUCCAAGUAGAACUUUUCAAAGCAUCAUAUAUUUACUCAGAUGGUGGCAAAUUUAGGAGCUAAAAGUAAAUUAUAAUGCAAAGCUCGCCGGAUAAUUAAAUUUGAAGUUUAUAUUCUUCGAGGAAAAUAGAUUAAUGAUGCAAAGACACUUCAUUGUCUAGUCCUUUCGGUAUUAACAAAGAAAUUAUAAUCCCAAAUACUUGAAAAAAGCCAUUGAAGACUAAAAUCAGCUCCCCCAUGAAGGCUAUCGAAUACUAGAAAUCUCAAGUGCAAAAUUAAACAAAAGGAUCCGAAUAUUGAAAAUUUCAUUAGGGCCCUUUAGUUACCUCCUUUUUUUAAAAAAAAAAUCUUUAACUAAGUUUUGGCUCAAUUUUCACCUUCAAAGUUUAAAAGUAUAUUUUGCGAGAAACUAUUCACCUAUUCUGCUAAUUGAAUCUAACAAAAGGGUAUUUUUAUCUUUUCCUCCUCCUAUUAAAAAGAAAGAAAUUAAGAAAAGGGCAGAUGAAAACCGAAUUAUAGAUGGGAAGUACAUAGAUUAAAUAAUAGUAGUGAAAAUUUUAAGGCACAAAAUGAAUAAAAGGUAGUAAUGAAUAUGUCGCACUCUUCAAUUUUACAGAAAAAGAUGGUUGCUUAUUUUUGUUGAUUAUCUUUCUGCACUAGACAAAUUAACCCUUAUAUAGUUUUGCUUCUCCAGUUAAGAGGACCACCUGAAAUGUAAGCAAUCCGCACAUUUAUGGUGACCUAGCACAAACUUUCUAGUCGUGUAAAAACAGGUGGAAGAAAAGUGGCUAUCACCAAUUUUAAGCUUAAUAAAAUCCCACCAAGUUCUUGAUAAAUCUUCACCAAAUUAUGCUUCUCCUCCUUCAAAAGAAAAAAAUUAUGCUUCUCCAAAGUAUAAAAUUGUAGGUGUUACUUGCCAUUUUUGAGAUGUACAAGCUACUUAAAAAGAUGUAAUCAAAAGAAAUAUAGCACACACCAUAAUUUACAUUAAACAAGGCUGAUAGUACAUUAUACAUGCAUGGAUAUGCUUGGUUACAUUAACUACAAAACCAAACACAUGCAGAUAGAAAUAUCUCCACUUGGUCAUGCACAGAUAAAAAUGCCAGCAGACCACAUAUGGACAGACUAGACACUUCAGCACCACCACUAAUCACUGGCUUCUGCAGAUGUCAAAAAAACCAUUGCGGAAAGCCAUAGUUCAGACUCUACGAUACUCUAGAUUAUUACAAUAUUAAAAUCUUGACUAGAAAAAGGAAAGGAAACAAAAAAACUAAUACAUGUAGUAGAUAUAGUAAAUUAUAAAGCUGCCCAAUCAAUCUCCACUGAGGGGUACUUCUGCAACAAGAAAUUCUCUGACUGGUCAAAAGUGGGCUCAGCAAAAUCCAAGAAAGUUAUAUCAGAUUCAGGUGAAGACAUUUCCAGUGAUGAUGUUUCAUCAGAUCUUGAAGGUGAUAAUGAUGAUGAGGUCUCCUCCACCUUAACACCCUCAUUUCCUGGAUAGAAAUAUUCACUGUUCAAUGAAUCAUCAAAGGUGUUUUCCACUUUUGGAAUUGUCUGUACCCCGACCUUCUUCUGCUGCUGCUCCCCUGUAUUCCCCUGUUUCUGAGAAUCGGCCAAGCUUUGACAAAUGGCUUCAAGUUUAGCAUCAACAGAGGAAUGCAAAGGUUUGAAGUCACCAAAAUCUUGGCUUAAUUGAUGCCGAAGGUUUGGAAAAUUAAGCCUAGCAAACUCUCCUCUCAGCUUAUAAGCAGCCUUAUCAUAGGCCAAGGCGGCUUCUUCAGCUGUGUCAAAGGUUCCAAGCCAAAGCCUAGUUCUGUUCUUGGGGAGUCUGAUUUCAGCUACCCAUUUGCCCCAAUGUCGCUGUCUAACUCCCCUGUAAAGCUUGGCGGGUUUUGGAGGAGUUCCAACUUGCUUCAUGUGGACAGGUUUUGGGCCAAGAAAGCUCAAGUGGGAAUGAUUCUGGUGCUGCAAUUGCCUGGUUGAGCUAUAGUUUUGGAGGGACUGAGCAGCUAAGUAUUGCUGUUGUUGAUUUUGAAGUUUGAUUUGAGCCUCGACUUCAAGGAUCUGAUAUGGGGUCAGAUGGUUUAACCCAAUUGAACCACCACCUGAUUGCUCAUCAAAUCCCAUCUCAUCAAAGCUAGACAACCCUUGAGAAAACAUGUGGGCUGUGGAUGGAACAUAUGAGGUAAAAGAAGAGUACAUGUUGGGCUCAGAAGAGAAAGAAGAAGAGUCAAAAGGGUAGUAAGAAGAGCAAGAAGAAGAAGAAGAAGUAGAAGGAGGAGAAAGAGAAGACGAAGAGGAGGAAAAGGGAGAAGAUGUAGUAGUAGGAGAGGAGGGCAAAGAAGAAGCACCUUUCAUAAAAGGUUCAAGUGCUUUCAUCAGCUCUUCCCUCAAGGGAUCUGAUGAUAAUGAGAAAACAGGAUUACUAUAACUGUAGAUAUCUAUAGCUGUUGCCAUAACUUAGAUCAAUAAUUCAGACUUAAAAAAAAAAAGAGAUCUGAGCGAAAAAAAAGUCGUGAAAAAACUAACAACCAAGUUCUUGUGAACCAAGAAACUAAAGAAACAGAUGGUAGGAGAGGAAGAAAGAAAAGAAAAGGAUCAAACAGGUUUCGAAAUAAAGAACCUUUUGGUAUCCUUGAUAGUACUAGUAAUUUAUGUACCUUCAAGAAAAUGAAAGAUCAAGAAACCAAAACUCACCUGAGGGAUAGCAAAAAAAAAAAAAAGACCCUCUUAGUUGUUUUAAUCAAACUAGAAGCAAAAGAAGAGCUACAAGAAACUAUACCAAAGUUACAAGAGAAAACUGGAUCUCUAUUCUGAAUCACCUGGCUUUCAAAAACACCCUUGUAGGGGGUUUGCUUUGAGAUUUUCUGCAGCUGAAGUUUGAGUUCAAAAUCAAGAAAAAAACAAACCAACCCUUAAAAUUUUGCAGUACAACAAAUUUCUUGAAAGACAGACGAUGACAGAAAGGGAUCUCAGAAGCGGGAUGUUAUAGAGAAGGGGGAAAGGAAAAAGAAAGAAAUUUAGCAAAUGCACAAAAAAAACUCACAAAUUUUUCUGUGGCCUCACUUAAGAUAUCCACUCUUGCAUAUGGUUGUGACUCCCAUGCUUCUAUAUAAAGGCCAAGACUGCGGCUGGUACACACAAGAUUAAUUAUUUUAAUCUUGAAUUGUUCAUUUCUUUAGUAUUAAGUCCACUUUGGGAGCUGCUUUUUUUGCUCAAUUAUUCUACAUUCUUGUCAAACUUCUAGAGAUACCUUCUAUGAAAGAGAAAGAUCCAAUGGGUUAGUGACACGUGAGGAGAUCACUGAAAUGUAGACUGGCAGGUGCCAGUAAAGAUCCACUUGGAGAUUUUUUAUUAGAUGGUGAAUGUAGUUGACUGCUAGUAGGCAGUCACCUUCAACUUUGGGAACCAAAAUGGUAGUAUGGUAUAUAAGGACCAUUUUUUUUUUGGCCUUUUGAGGAUGUAUACAAGUUUUCGUCCUUGCUAUUUUUUUUUGACACGCCUAGAUUAUGACACCUAAACUCUCAUAAAAAAAAGGAAAAAAAGAUUAUAACACGUAAAUGUGAUGAAAAAUGUUGAGGAAUUUUGACCUCGUAAUUUAGCAGCAUGAUGAUCAGGUGGUCAGUGGCUAAGGGAGGACUCUCUCCACUGUCAGAUUCAAGGUUUAAAACCAAGUUUAAUAUUUGAAUUUUGAACUUGACAGUUGAAAGCGAGAUAGAGGCGUGAGAAGAUUUAAAAAAAGAUCGGCUGAUCACCAACCUCAAGCAAACUUGGCCAUUGGAUUACAUGAAAGGAGAUUUUCAAUAUGAACCACAGCUUUAGCUAUCAUCGUAUGGACCAGAUUUUGAUAGUAUAAGUCUAACUUGGCCCUAGCUAUGAAGAAGAAUAGGAAAAAAAAAAAACAUGGAGUCAUGGACCAGUUUCAAUUUCAUUAGUUCUUUUUAGAUGGGAAAUGGAUUUUGGCAUAAUCGCAAUGCACCAACUUUUGUAGAGGCCACAGACAAGUCCAAGAUUCGCAUUCCACUAUUACCAAAUUCUGUUUACACGAGGUAAAAUGAUACUCCUACAACUUUAGAAUCUUUUUUUAACAAAACAAAGUUCUCAAGGGCAAAGCUAAAUUUGAGUUGGUGAACCUCAUUUGUAACAUCCAUUUGUUCAUAUGUAGCAAAUGAAGUUCCUCCAAAGUUUAUUUAAUCAUGAAUAAUUAGUUAUCAUCAAAUUCAAAUUUGGGUUUUGACAAUCCUUUAGGGGGUACCUUUCAAGAAAUAAUUCAUUUUGGAUUCUCAAUUUUGUUUUGAUUUUGAAUACAGCACCAUACAUGAAUGAUGACAUGACAUGAAUGUCCAUGGAUAUUCUUCUUUUUUUUUCCUGCAACGAUAGACCCUAUAUUUAUUCUAUUAUAUUCUAUACUAUGGGAUAGGAGGGACCUGAAGAGGUCCAGAGAAAAAUCGAAGAGGAUUAAAUCACCUAACGACCCAAAAGAAUGCACUACGCAUCCGUCCAAUAAUCACUUAAAGUGGCCUGCUACAUUUAGUGCCAAAUGGGGAGAGGCAAGGUGGUGACCACCGAGCUCGGUGGUUCCAUGGAUAUUCAUUACUGCAUGAAUAACUCAUCCCCCCAACAAUCAACUGAAUUUAAGAAAAGUAGUUAAGAAGAAGAAGAAGAAGAAGAAGUAUGAUUAGACUUGAAAUUUGGCGCCUUUCAAUAAUUGAGUAAGAAAUAUGACAUUCACCAAUCAAGCAGCCUGGUUAGAAAACAGAAAUAGCCCACAUCAUCAGAAGUCUUCAUGGUCAUGAUAGUGCUACAUAUUGCCCCAAGGUAAAGUGAGAUAUAGGAUAUGAUUUCCCAAAUUGCAUUAAUCAUUUCUUAUCCAUUACCAAACCCCAUCUAAUUUUGUCAUUAGCAAAAAGCAAAACCACCAUUUUCUUGAAAGGAUGAAGAUGGAUGGACAUGUGCCAAAGAGACAAAAUACUUGUGGGAUCCAUGUCUACGCAACGCAGGAUUAUAUAUAAUUGUUGUCUAUGUAAAGAGAAAAACCAUGGAUUAGGAGGGGAAGCGGUAGUGGUAGAAACUGCUGGCAAAUAAGUCAAAGUUCAUGCGGUGAAGGGAAGUUAACAGUGAAGAGUCAGAAUUGCAAAAAAGAGAAAAGGAGAAAGAGAAGAAUAAAUCAUAAUCAUCAUUUUCCCAUACGAAACUAGGGAAGGCAAAGAAGUUAAUUUGAGUGCGACAAUCCAUCGUCAAUUGCGGCGCCAGCGAGCCAACCAGAAAGCGGACGGAGAAAAGGACCCUCAAAAUCAAAUGCCAUUGCAAGCUAGUAGUUUGAUCCAGUUUUUACAUUUACGGUAUCCCUUGUAAAAUUUUGCAUUCUUUAGAUUUUUAUGGAUUUAUUUAGCGAGUGCCUGUUCAGUUUCGUCCGUUAACUUUUCAGUGAAAUAAAAUUAAACUGAAAAGAUAUCUGACCGUACGCUCGUUAGAAAAAUUUUCUUUUAUAGUUAUUUAGAGUAUUGAUUAGUAUGUGUGUGUCUAUAUAUAUAUAUAUGGAUAUAGUCAUAUUUGCUAUCCACUUUUAGAAUAAAUUUUUUAUUAUUUUUUGUUUACAAAUAAUACUUGAAAAUUCUUUAAUGAGUACUUUAAUGGGCACUUGUUACACCAAAAAAAAAAAAGAAAAGAAAAAAGUCGUAGACACGUAAAAUUUUGGAUGGAUAAAUAAACUUUAGUACAAUUCUUUUGAAAAUUUAGCGACAACAUAUAUGUUUUCAUUCAAAAGUACUUAUGAUAAUUUUAAAUUUGUAGGAGUGACUAUCCCAUCCCAUGCUAAGUCUGAACAUAUACAAGUUUCAGUCUAGAUGCACUUGCAUAAGAAAUCUUGUCAUAUAUAAGGCGAUUUCUUGAAGUGAGUAAUCUGUGUUAGUGUUAGAGAUGAUAGUAACAGAAACUAUUAAGAUUUUGUGAGUUGAACAUCAAUUAAUUCUAGUUUAACUUGGAUCAAAUUGACCUAUUCUUCAAAACAUACUACUAUUUCAGUAUUUUUUUUUUUUUUUUUUGUGCUGCGUGACUCACUAGCACACACUUGCAAGGUUGGACCUAGUGAAAUAAAUUCCAAGACAACCUCAUCAACAAGUUGAAUUGAAUAUGAUAUAGUAAAAGUUAUAUUUGAAAGUGAUUUCUUAUAAUAGUAAAUGUUCCUCUUGUCGUGUCAUUUUCAUCUGACAGCUAACCAAUUUACUGACCUAAAAUAAAGUAAAUAUUUCAAAAUUAUUUAAAAUAAUAUCUAUACUAUAUAUAAAGGAUGAGGAAGGGGUUUGGGGUUAACAUUUAUCGUCUUUCUUUUUUAUCCCCAUAAAAACUACUUUUACUUUAACUACCUAUACGUACUUAUGACUAUUUUUACUUUUAACUAUUUAAGUAUAUGUUUUCAACAUAACUAUCCCUAAACACUACAACUACCAAUAUAAAAUUAUUUUAUGAGAACUAUUUCAAAGAUUAAAGUUUGCUUUAGUAAUAAAAGUUUUAUUUAAAAUAUACGACCAUCAAUAUUAUAUAUAUAUUUUUUGAUUGCACACACAUUGGAUAUGCGAUGAGCACUAGUUGAGAUAAUUUUUGUGAUGUGAUGUCUGUAAGAUAAAAAUGUUACUAGAAAAAUAUAAUUAAAAUUUAUAUUUAUAAUGCAAACGAAAUAAUAUUCAAAAGUGUUUUUAUUUUUUUUCUUCCUUGUUUAAACCUUUUCCAGGCUAGAUAAAUAGUAAAUGGACCGUGGUUACAAAGCAACCUUUUUGUCCUUUUCUUAUUAUUAUUUAAUUUCCUCGUUUGGGUGCAAAGGGAAGCUUUUACUUUCAGGGACGGACGGUGAGCAAGUUGCGGAGUUAGCGUGAGAAUGAAGCGAAGCCAUCGGAUUUGUUGCGGGCCCCGCUGGGAUCGAGAGAUAUUAGUGGAGCCUGUUAUUUACGUCUGACACGUCAUUUCCUACGUGGCCGUCACUUAUAUGCCACGCAAAGUAUAAUAUCCACCGCCGUUAUCCUAUCCAAACAUUUCCAAGGUUUAAUGAUGUUCUAAAGCUAAUCUAAGGAUUUUUUUUUUUUUUGAAGGAACUAAUCCUAAGUUCACAGGGCACAAACUAUUGCUACAACGUUAAAGGCCUUUCGUAUAGUGGUUAAAGUUAAAAUCCUUUUUACGUUUUUUAAAUUUCACGCUUCUCCUAUUAGGGAAAAAAAAUAUUAUCACAAUAUAAAUUUUAGUUCAUUGGAGUGGAGUAAAUUAUUGACGUCAAGGAAAAAAAAAGAUAAAUUUUAACUCAUCAUAGAAUUUUUUUUUUUUUAAACGACAACUAGGGCAUCACUUGUGGAAGAUUAGGUUCGUAUUGAAAUAGAUUAAUUUGUCAUUUUACAUAUAAUUAAUUGUAGAACUAAAAUAGAUGCUGUGGCGUUAUUACUAGCCUUUCUAGAAAAGUAAAGAGACUUCUUCAUUUGUUUUCAUACUUGGUUUAUGUUUCUUAAUAAUGUUCCCAUUUUUCUUCAAAAAUGAUCCAAAGUUCAAUGGCCUUGAUUGAUUAAAAAAUUGUAUGCAUUUCUUAGUUCCUUGGUUUUUUUUCCCUCCCUUUUUCAGCAGCAUUUGUUUGUUUGAUACCAAAAUUGUAAUAGAUUGAUAUAGCAUAAAAUUUUUAAGUAAAAUACUUAAAAGGAAAAAAAUUUGUUGUGCCUUUUCUUCAGUUUAAGGUCUGCCAAAUUGCCAUAGUCCGAAUAUAAGUAGCUAUUAAGCCAAUAUUUUUUUAACUUCUAACUGUAAAAUUCAAGAUUAAAAUGUACUUUUACAUUGAAGAAGCUUAUACGCAAUAAUAAAUGUGUACUUUGCAGUGAGAUAUCUCUUUGAAGGACCCUUUGUUUGCCACGUUCAAAUGAACACAUCUCGCUUUCUGAAUCUGAUGGUCAUUGACAAUGAAACCAGAUUUCUUUGUCGACUAAGCCACUAUUUCUGAAAUUGAAGGAUGACUAGAAACAAUUGAAGACCACUAAGGUGUGACUUGAUGCACAUUGAGUCUUAAAUUCUCUCGUCAUGCUGACACAUUUUUAUCGUUUGAGGGGAUCCUAUGAUCACAGUUUGGAUUCUAGGGUGCAAUUGAUGAUGGGGAUGGGUUUGAUUUGAAUUUAGUCGGAUGAGAUUGAUUCUGAAACGUAACUUUUUAGAGUACAGAAAUUUGUUAUAUUUCUGUUUAUUGAUGUGUUAAUAUCUACAUCUGUUAUAUUAUUGAUCAUACAGUCAGUGAUUGUAGAAAUCUCGAAUCCCAUUUUAUCCUUGUACAGGAUCAAUCAACAAAACUCAUCUAAGAUCUAUUUUGUUAUUGUCAUCGUUUGUAGCAGAUGAACAUAAAGAAGCUAAUCUAGGGUAGAAAAAUGGGAACUCAUGGCCCUCCUAACCUACACAAAUUAAUGAUUCCAUGUUUGUCAUAUGUGCAAGAAUUUUUUUUGGGUGCCAUGAAGGCCGGAUGGACUUAGAGAUUUGAGAGUGGCUACAGACAGUUCAUGUGGCUUUGAGAGACGUGAAAACUUCAGGCAAUUUUUAAUCAAGAAUAAGGACAAUUUCAUCAAUCUGGAUUGAUUGAUAAGGUAGUAUCUGGUAGAGGUUCAAUCUCCUUUCUAAAUUACAAACUGCAGCCAGUGCAUGUGCUGCAACUAGAAGGUGGCUGGGAAUCUUGCCCUUUGGGGACUGCUUUUGGACUUUCAACUUUAGGGUUUGGAACACAAUUAUCUAUGGUUGUCUGGCAGGGAUGACAAUGAAGUACGAGGUAAAAUAGACAUGGAAUGCCAAAGUCUCCUUGUCAAUGAUGAACUAGUUUGGUAGUAUAUAAUAAUUGGUACAUAAUUCAGAGCCCUUCUCUUGAGGUUGAGAUUUCCAAACCUCUUUUUUGUACCCGCUCUACUACAUUGGCAGCUGGUGUCUGGCAAGCUGUUUAGCAUUUACAUGCAUCCUUAAGAACUAAACUAAUCUCCCCUGCAAAUGUCAUCCUUAUGUAGUUUUUGCCCUUGAGAGAACUUUUGCUGCUGGUGCUAAUCAAUUCAUUUGUACUAUAAGGGACUAAAAAUUGCAUAAAAGAGGGCCUGAAAUUUAGAAUUUGAGUCACUUGAAGUUUUCUUGAACUUCUUAUAUUAGUAAAACGGGAAGACUUAAUAACAAUAGUAGUUGCAUGAUGCUGACACCAUUCCCAUAAUAAGAUCAAGGGUUUUAUUCUCGAGAGGAGUUCCAAGAGAAACAAUACCUAGAUCGAGAUAUAUAUAAUUCAUUAGAAUUUGGUUUCAAGAUCUAAAUAUAUAGAAAAGUAUUUACAUUUCAAACAUGGUUGGCUCACUUCUUUGAUGAAAGAAUUCAAUCUAGAUUGCAUCUACUUACAAAGCUUAAUUAGAUAACUCUUUUCUAUUUCUUUUUUCACUUGUGAAAGAAAUUUUUUUUUUUUUUUUUUAAAAAAAAGGUCCCAUGAGGAAAGAAACCUCUAUAAAAAGGCAAAACCAUGUUUUAGUCAAGUCCCCUUUCUUACCAUCCAUAAGACUUAGCUCGCAUAUGACCUAGAAGGACAUAUUAUUGAGGAUCCAUAUGACACCUAAUCUGCCCCAUUUCUGUCGGAUAAAACAAAUUCCACAAAGCAGUUUAUUAGCCCAGCUGGAUUCAAAUUAUUAUUAAUAAAUUGAAGCAUGCAUUUGACCAUGAAAUUAAAGCAUGGGCAUAAGUAAGUCUUGGAAAAUACAAAAAUGAAAAGCUAUCUAUACACUCAUUCUUCCCUCCUUGAAGUCAACCAACACGUAUUACAACACACUUAACUAAAGCAAUAAGUGGGCCGAAAGUACUUCGUUGCUAAUUAAAAAAGAGAAAGUGUAAAAAAAAUUUUACGUUAGUAUGUUUAGAUGACUACACUGUUAAUGUAUAAAAUGUUAAUCCAUUAAAAUUUGUGUUCCAUGUUCAAUCCCAUUUAUCGAAUGUCAAGUUGAUCCAUUUUCCACCAUUAAAUGUUGUCUAUUAUAUUGUGAAUGCAGAGUGCCUGUGUAUCCAUCCAUCAUGUACACAGAGAGAUGAGAUGCAAACAGCCCAUAUCAUCAGCACUUCCGUAUGGGGAUAUAAAAUUGGAUAGCCCAUAAUGCAAUUGAAAAACAUGAUUGAUUUCUUAAAGUCUUCAUCUCACCUCCACAAGAAGUGGAGUAAGGAGGUCCACAAACCACACAGACAUGAAGCCCUUUGACUUUUUCCACCAACAAUUCCUCAACUUCAAUAUACUUAGUGGCAAUAUGAUUGGGUGCCUCAACACCAAUGUAUACAGACUAAACUGGCCCGGGUUUGAUGGUCAAAACUUGGCCUUUUAGUGGUGUUGUGGCAAUGCACCUAACUUGGUGGAAGUCUGAUUCACUCGGAUGAACAAACUACUUGACUUUCUAGUUUUUCUAGUAAGUUCAGUGGCCUAUAAAGUCUUGAUUAUUUAUUCGAUUGACCUUGUGGAGUUGACUUUCACAAUUGUCAAUGCCAUCACAUGACACUAUCUUGAUAAAACCUCCACAUCCAGCAAUGCUCAGCAUAUUAGGUGCUAAAUUUUUUAAGCAGCCAUUAGCCAGUCAUCACAAGCUACGUCACACAUAUGAUAAGAGAAAUAACAUAAAAUACUUAGUAGCAGUUAAAAGCUAAGAUGUCGUGCGUGAUAAUGAAAUACUCGUAAUGACCAUUUUCAGGGUAAUCAGGUUCUUGCAGGUUUGAACAAUCACUUUGACAUUUUAGAGGUUUAUCUUCUUGUACUAAAGUCAACCCAAGAAAACUUUUGGUUUCUUGCCAAUCCAUCGAUUAGGACUUCCUCUUCAGAGAUGUAAAGCAGUUUAUCAUUUUCUUUCGAUUGUUUUCUUGUUUCUGUUUCAGUUUUGGGACCAGGGGAGGGGAGAAGGGGUGAGGGUGGCCAGGGGGAGAGUGAAUUGCUUCCCCAUGCAGCAUUUUUAUCUUUCUUGGCAGAAUGCCCCAUUGGCUAACAAUGGCAUCAGAGUGUAAUACAGGGAAAAAUUUUGAAAGCAAAAACUUCCAUGUUCUUGGCUAUGAUGCUAAGAGAAACUUACAGAUGACCAGGGAUUUGGCGUCACAAAUCAACACAAGUUUCCUCCAACAUCUGCCUUACAAUGGCAUAGCAUACUCUUCUUUAAGUAGCAAGCUAUGUUGAUUCUGCUAGGAAUCAAAAUUAACAGGGAAAUAUAAUUGAAAUAUCUCCUUUUAAUAUAGUGAGAAAUACCACAUCUGCAUAUAACUUCCUGAGAGCCUCAUGCUGAGGAAAAUUGUACUGGACACUACGCUGGUUUCACCUAUAUUUCUUCUGAAAGCCUCUAUUGUCUAACCAACAAAACAGCAGAUGUAAAGCGAUCUCAUUUGCACUUACCAAAGACCUUUCCAAUUCUUUCUACAAAAUCCUUUUCUGGGUAUUGUUUUUCUUUUUGUCAUUUUUGUUUAAACUCAUUUCUUAAGAAAAAAUGAAUUAGAACAACAAUUGGAGAUUCAUUUGCAUAUCUUCUGCUGUUCAAAAUUAUGAAUGUAAAAUAUCAUUAUGAGUUUUUAACUUACUUGUCCGGUGAUAACUUCUUUCUUCUUUUCUCCCCGCAACUGUGUAUCCACAGCAAAUAUGAACACAGAUUAUAUUCGCUUCAAAGUAUAUAUAUACACCAUGUAUCUUAAAUCUUAAAUGCCUAUAAGGUGUUGGUUAUAUAGUCACAUCUUGUUUUUAGCAACAAUUGGCUGCUAAAUAUCAAAUUCUCAACUCAUUCUUUCAACAAUUUUUCUAAUAAUACAAUCAUGUAAUCUUAAUAUGACAGGAAUUUGAAGGUAAAACAGAGCUAUCAUGGGUAAAACAAGUGAAAUACUCUAUUCGUGAGUGAACAGAGCUAUCGUGGGUAUUUUCAAGAAACCACGGGGCAUAGCCUAUUCUUGGAAUAGCAAAUGUUACAUACAAUAGAAAUCCUUGAGAUGCAAAAGGGCUAUAGAAAUACAAAGAUGUUGAAGACCAUGAAAAAAAAAAAAAAAGGUUGCAGGCAAGCUACAAAAAACUUAAAGGAGAUAACAGCAUUACAAACAUGACAAGCAUGAUGAUCAUACUACUGGCUAUCUGGAGCUUUGCCAUUUAUAACUUCGAGUUCUGUCUUGCAUUUGUCUCUUAAAUCUUUUAUUGAAGCUAAACUGAUUUCCUGCAAUAAAAGAAAAUCAGCUAGUUACUUCUAAGAAGCCUACGGGCAGUAAAACUAAAUGAGAAAAUCAUUAUCGUUUGCACAAUAAAUGCAUGAAAAUCUCAAUGAAAAGGUAUAACUGGGAGUUGCAAACAAUACUACAGAUCUUGGAUAAAAAGCCAACUUUCUUUUAGGUAAACUGCCGAAACAUAGGCUACAAAAUUUCCACGAUUCUUCGACCAUAUAUGAAUUGACCACCACUUUCAGAUUGGCAAAGGAAGCAGUUUACUCCAGUUGAUGUAAAAUUAUGUAGAACAGAUCAUGAAUUAACAGGAAUCCAUCCCACUAAUAUAACUUUUCUAUUCUUUAUAAUAAUAAUAAUAAUAAAAAGAAAAGAUGAUAAGUUGCAGGCAAAAUUCCAGCAACAAACCACUGAGUCUGCAACUAAUGAAAGACGAUCAAAGACUGCAUAAUUCAGAACUAAAAUAGGUAUCGCUUAGAGAAAACAAUUUUAUACAACAAAAGAAAAAAAUUUUCAUUCAAAUCGACGUUAGAUUCAUUAUGACUUUUUAGUUGCACAUUUACCAGAAACUAGACCCUAACACAAAUCUUCAAACCUUUGACAGGGUUAUUCUAAGUCUUUGGUUGUGGAUUCCCUCUCUCUCUCUCAUACACACACACACACACACACAAUUGCCCAAGCAGAAAAUUCCUACCCAAAUGGAACCUGGUAAUCAUAACCUACAGUUGUUCUAUCCUCAGAACAUGUAAUGAUCGAGCAUGUAGAAUGGUAUAUGACAUUCAUGUGCUAUUCACAUCAGUAUGCUCAAGUUACAAAAGAGCCUCUUAGUUGAGUUCAGUUUACUUGAUUUCUGCUGCACUAUUUAACAUAACCUGAUGGUGGUAGUAAAUUGUCUCUAACAAACUUAGAUUAAAAAUAAAAUUUAAAGCUAGUAAUUCUAACAUUAACUCUCCGGCACUGCUUACAUUAAUUUCUCAUCAAUCGCCAUUAAACUACUUGUACCUUGAGAUUCUUUGAUUUUUUUUUAUUGCUAAUUAUCCUCAUGUCUUCAGUUCUUCAUUAUUCACCCAUACAUUUGAGCCCCUUUUCAUCUCUCCUUUACUUCUGUAAAAGGAUUCCAUGUUAUUUAAAGUAAUGAUUGUAACAGCCUCAUUCUCCAGCCAGUUGAUUCAUAAUAUAGUGAAAUUCAUAAUCUCAACGAGCAAAAAUAAAGAUCACCUAUCUACCACUUAUAGGAGACAAACUGGAUUGCUAUUUAGAUUCCGAGGACACAUUACACUAACAUGUCCAAUCCUCAACUUCUCAUGAUGACUAAAUUCACUACUUGAAUGUUUCCACCAGCCAAUUUACAAAGUAAAUUCAGUUUCCACGUUUAAUAAUAUCAAAUAAUCAGCUAUAUCAGACAAUAUUUACUGGGCGCAAAUGCAAUCUUGGAAGAAGAAAGUAUCAAAGUAAAACAUAAUAGGAUUGCCUUGUACAGAAUAAGUGUUGGAUGGUAAUAUCCAAUAUCACACUUCACAUAUUCAGGCAAAAUGUUGAACUUAGAAAAUGUUCUAGACAUAUACUUACUUGUUCCUUGGCCUCACGUUCAAAUAUACCCUCCAUAUGUGAAAACAGGGACCUCCACUGAGUCAUCAGAUCAUGUUCUAAAUUUGAUGCUGAGCUAGAGCUUCCUUGAUCAUGUUUACCAGCUCCUUUAUUCCUGCAACUUCUUUCAACCAGAAUGCUUGCAUCCUUUUGACUCUUUUUUAGUGCUUUGCAGAUAGAACAACAAAGUUCGGAGAAAGGAAAAGGAGCAGAAUCAAAAUGGCAACCAAUAGACGUUAGUGACUACCAAAUACAGAUUUUCACUCACUCACCUGUUAUUCGACCUUUCAUAUCUUGGUAGUGGAGGUCUAACCAUAUAUAACCAGCUGAAUGUGACAUCAGAACAAACCAAAGGCUUAUCAAUGCAAGUGUACAAAAAUGAUUGGCAGUUCAAGAAACUAGAAUCAAAUAUUUAAUGACUAGGUGGGGAAAUAGAGCUCAAAAUUUCAGGAUAUACCUUUUGUACAGAAUGAACAUGAACAAGCUUUUAUCAAGUCAAUAUCUGCCGCCAAAUUACAGCACCCAUCAGUCUUCAGUCCACUGCAUCGCUCUAACUCAAAGGUUCUAGACUCCUGAGACUCUGGCAACCUUGCACAAACAACAGAGCCAGUCUGACUCAUAACCAAGUUGUCAACAUCAUGAUCAUCACCAUCAUUCCCCGAAACUUGUGUAUUAUGAUCACUAUCAUCUUGAGAGCCUCCAGAACCAACUCUACCUUCCUCACUAUCACAAAUUACUUCAACACAAUCACUCUCAGAUGCACAAUUAGGCCUCAAAAAACCAUCUUCACAACUACCUCUCGAAUUAUCACCAGCUUGUGCAGUAGCAUGGAUAACCGAACCACCUACUUCAUUAUCCAACAACUUGGGAUCCUUAACUUCAGGUGAUAUCCUCGAAACGCCCAUUAUAACGUUUCCCUUCAAGGAACUAAUCUGACUACACGGCCGAGGCGAUAUACAAGCCCUUUUACCCCUAUCCUUGUCACUCGCAUUAACAAAUUUAGUUACAAGCCUCUUGUUUUCUUUCUUAUCAACAUUUUCACAGAUCCCACCUCCUGAAAUUGAAUGAAACCUACUUUUACCAAGUUGAUUUGUCACAUCACCUAAAACUACCCGAUCUUUGCCACGUCCAUCAGAAAAGCUAUCAUUCUCAGCCAUCGUCAAAUUCACUAGUCUAAAACACAAUUGCCAACUAAAAUAACCACCUUUUUGAACUUUUUUUACAUCAAAGAUCCCAUUUCACAUAUUUCCUGAAAUACGCAAACAAGUCACUAUAUAGCCAACAAAAAAGAAAGUAAGCAAUGCACCCAAAACAACCAGUAAAAAUAGGUCAUGACAAAAAUUACUGAUAACUCCAAGAAAGGUGAAAAAAUGCGAACUUUAAUAAAAAGGGCAUCUGGGAUUUGAUGGGCAUUACAUGAAAAUUAACUAAUAAAGUCAAAUUUAAAAUUAAAAAAAAAAAAACAACAACAACAACAUUUCGGUUGAUAACGUUGGAUACUGACCUCGUGGUGAAAGAUUUGGAGAAUCUAUGGACAAUAAGGAAUGUCUGAGUCUAGAUUGCAGGGAUGCUUGAUAUCAGCUGUGAUUGCAGUUGAAGAAGGGAACCCGGGGGCAGAAAAAUGAAGGGAAGAGGGGGCGGAAGAUCUGGAUGGUUAGGCAAGGAGAGGCGGGACCGCGGGAGGUUUUAGCCCGCCUUUCAUGUUUUGAACAUCUUUGGAGCGCGCCUCGCUGGGUGCAAAUUUACAAAUGGCCAUUUCCAACUUAACCCACGGGCACGGGUUGAAUUGUCGCCCCAUCGAACAGACCCAUCGAACCGACAGCGGCUACCCAGAAGGCCAGAACACAACUGAAACGAUUGCGUUUUAGUUACGUGCUCUUUGUACCGUAAGCAAGGGAAAAAAAAACUAAGAUGUAAAAGAGUAAAUCUUACAAUAUAUAUACUAUCAUCGUUGAUCCAUGAUAUAUAUGUAAAAGUUGAAUUUUAAAUCUAAAAUUUUUUUUAAAUGUCAUUCAUCCAAUGCUAACAGUAUAAAUACUGUCGAUAUAAAAAAAAUUAAUCCAAAGUAAAAACGUGCACCCAAAAAUAACAAAGGUAUUAUGCAUUUUUAAUAUGGAAAAAUUAAGGAGGAAAGUGACAAUGUUGGCAGUGUAUUAACUUUUAUAAAACAUGGUUUCACAUUAUUCUUUUGUCCAAUUAAAAAAAAAGAGAAAAGAAAAAAUAUGAUAUCAUAUUUAAUUAUUUUCAUAAGGAGAAAAAAGUCACCAAACCUUUCAACAUUCAUGGACAAGUUUUUUAUUUAGGUAAAAAUAAUAAAUUUAUAAUUUAUAGUAGUAAUGAGGUUAGGUAUGAUGUCUUUCUCAUUGUACUUUUAUUUUUAUUUAAAAUUGUUAGGGGUUCAUGUCAAACUUGGCACCAUCUAAAGGUGAUAUUUAUUUUUUUUUUUUAAAGUUGAAACAUUAUAUUACUAAGGCAACAAUACAAGAAAAUUAUGUUUAAAGUUCAAAGUAUAUAAAUAAAAAUAGUUAUGAGGCUUUAGUAAAUAAAUAAUAAGUGUGUUUGGAUAGGAGAUUACUUGAAAAAAAUUAUUUGAAAUGAUAUGGUAAUAUAUUUUUUGUGAUUGAUUUACAUGAGAGUACAUUAAGAGUAUAUUUAAGGUGUUUUCAAGCCAAAAAAUAUUAUUAACUACAAAGUUUUUACAAUCAACUUGAGGAGUUUUUCAAAUUGUUAGAAUUUCUGAAAACUAGAAAAAAAAAAUUUAAUUAUGUUUACAAACUUAUUUGAUAUGUUUUCAAAGACCAAAAGAAGUCAUUCUUUUUACUAAAUAGUGUUUGCGAGUUUCUAAGUUUAAUAUUUAUUGUGCCAACUAAUGACAUGAAAACUAUUAAAACGUUUUUCAAUAUUAUUAGCAUCCUAUAAUUUUUAACUACAAAACCAUAUAGGUGAAGUUUUUAGAAGUUUAAGGGGUUAAUUAGAUUUGUUAUGAAAAUUUUUUUAAAAAAAAGGUGCACAAGACAAGGGUGAUACUGGAAUGAAAACAUAUUGGGUAUUAAAAUGAAUUUUUAAUAAUAUAUUUUAAAAUGGGUUUAUAAUGUUACAAAAAGUCGAAAAUAAGGAAGGCAAAUGAUAUUUUUCAAAGUUCAAGAACGCUAAAUGAUAUUUGUCACAUAUCUCUGAAACAGCUUCUAAAAUUGUCCCAAUAAUCUACUAUCCAAAUACACUCUUGGCUCUUCCCCAACCCGAUUUCGCCCUGUCAGAAGUAAUUAUCUCCCUACUCUCUUCAAUAAAAUAAAAUGAACACUAUGCGAUUUGAUUACUGACAAAGUUUUAUAAUCACUCUACGGGUAAUAAUAUAGAGAUUAUUUGUCCAAAUUUAUUUGCUUACAUCACCAUUACAAUUUCCAAUACACCUUUUUAUCUUUUCAAUUAUCUUUUUAUCUCACAUACAUCACAUCACAAUAUGUACUACAGUAAUUAUUCCAAAUAAUAUUUCAAAUAAUCUCCUAUCCAAUCACACUCAUAAUUAGGAACAUUUAGCGAUUGUGUAGUAGUGUAUCGCUGUAGUCUUGAUGAAUAUCUCCCUUUAACUUCUUAUAUGAGAUAGGUGUAUUCUCUCUUCUCAUUUGUGUUGUCGUUUGUUAAAAACAAAAUAGAAAAGAAAAGAGAGUAGUAAACUAGUUCUUCAUUUUCAGUGUUUUUUUAAUAGAUUCUUUUACUAUUUCUUCGUAUCAAAACUUGUUCAAUCAAUUAUUAAUCACUUGAAUAGAAACUAGACAAACCCAUGGAAUACAAUUGACUACAAUAUUGGUUGCUGCCCACAUGGCAAAAAAAGAUGCUAAUUUUAGACAUGGAAUGAACUUUCCUACCACAAUGGUAAUGUUAGGGUAAAAUCACAUUAGAAUUCAAUGAGGUUUCCCCAUGUCCCAUAAAGGGUACUUCAUUAUGAAUUUUGAAACUCCAUAAAAAAUUUUCUUCCUUUGUAAGGAGGCCAAACUAGUCAAUUUACACAACGGAUAUAGUUGCCAAAAUAGAUUUCACUUCUCUGACCAACCGAAAAUUCUCAUCAAUUUCCUUUCCAAAAUCCGCAUAAGUCAAAACCAUAUUCAAACAGGAUAACACCUCUCAUGCUCAUCCAAUUGCCCUAAAAGGCGAAAGAUUCAAGAAAUUAUUUAAUAACUGAAUAAAUAAUUAAAGAAAAGGGAUGAUUUCAGAAACUACCCUGAGAUUUUCGGUACGGGAUAAUUUCACAAAUCUCCCUUGAGAUUUUUGAGACUUGCACUGACACCGCCUGAGGUUUUAAAAAUUUUACUGACCACUCUUACUUUUGAGAUUUUAGAAACAAUUUAGUUCAAAUAGGAUUAAAAUAUUAUUAUCACGAGCGAGAUGAGAUUUUUAUUUCAUGAAUACCCUUUUGGUCCCUAUGUUAAUAGAAGAUUGCAAGUCCUUUAAAAGCUUGAAAUGAUUAAUAAAAUUGAAGGGGUGUAAAUACAAUUCAAGAACUUACCAGCACCACAUGGAAACAUAAGCAAUGUUUUAGCAGCCUUAGCAACGACCGCCUACAAGUUCCAACGGCCAUAUUUUUUUAUUCAGGUGCAAUUGUAUAUAAACAUCACAACUACCUCUACACCCUCGGGAUUGAUUGUGAUUGUGGGCAGCAACUUCAGAGGACAAAGUGGUUAUUUUAGCCAUCAUGAUGUAAGCAAAGGGCCCAAAAUAUUUGUCUUAGUGAAAUUUUUAAAAUCUCGAGUGGUGUUAGUGCAAGUGUCAGAAACCUCGAGGGAGAUUUGUGGAUUUAUUCCUUUUGAUACUUGUGGUCAAUACAUUCUUUAAAAAAUUAUAGCUGCCUCUCUUAGUGAUGUGAAAAGACUAUAAUAAACUUCACAAAUUGUACAAAUUUUAAAAUGAAAAUGAGUUUAAAAGAAAAAAAGAGAAAAUUUUUGUUAAUAUUUCUUUAUUCUAAAAUUCUAAGGUCAUCUAUCUAAUACAUUAUGCUUCAUUAGCAAUUUUUCUAACUAGAUUUAUUAAUCAAUUUACAAAAAGUCAACCAACCAAUUAGGAAGGUAUUUGCUAAAAUAAGUAUUUUAAAAAUUACUUAACUGAAGAAAAUAUCAAAAGUACCAAACAAAAAUAAUGUUUUCAAAACAUGGCUUAAAAUUUUUUUUUUUGCAAAAAACUAACUUGAAAUUUUCACCUAACCGAUAAUGAUGAUAGUCAACUUUUUAAUAUUUAAUUUGUUUUACAUAGUAGAGAGGGUAAUAUUGGAUAUUCAUUGAAGUUUUUUUCUUACGUCAUCAAUUGUUAUCAAGAUAUAUUUUUUAGGGGAGGUUUUCAUAAAUUUUCAAACCUUAAGGAGGUGGCUGCAAUUGAAAUUUUCCCUAAAGAAAAUUAAUCAAGCACAGUAUUUUAUCCUAAAUAAUCAAUGCGUUGAAACGCGCGCCAAAGUACUAACGACCUCGGUCUCCACCCAAUCAUAACCCGACACCUGUCCAGUCAGUCCUACCACGUCAGCCAAAACCUUUGCGUAUAAACUACCCCUUCUGUCUUCAUCUCUGCCCCUCCGAUCUUCACACCCAAAAACACACACUAGCGGUGCCUCUUCAGCUGAAGAUGAUGGCAUCAAGAACCCAAAAUCCCGGCAUUCAAGCGCCUGAAAAUGAUCAAGAAAACCAACAAAAUCCAGUCACCACGCUGGCCACCACUCCGUGGCGGCGAAUUGAGCGGCUAUCGUUGCAUCUAAACCCCUUCUCAUCCAACCAUUAUGAUCUAUCGCACCAGCAGAUGAAGAUGUUAAUUUGCGCGGCAAGAGCAAAGAAGAUUGAGGUAAAAGUGGUGGAGCUGUCGAGUUUCAUGAGAGGAAAGCAUAGGGAUAUACAGGAGCAAGUAUUUGACUACUUCAAGUCAAGGCCUGAGCUGCAAACCCCACUCGAGAUAUCAAAAGAUGAGCACAGGGAGCUUUGCAUGAGGCAGCUUGUUGGGCUUGUCAGAGAAGCUAAUAUUAGACCCUUUAAAUAUGUGGUUGAAGAUCCAGCUAAAUAUUUCGCUAUUGCUGAAGCUGUUGGUAGUGUUGACAUGUCCCUUGCGAUCAAGAUGGGCGUGCAGUACAGGUAAAUGGAUGAUUUAAUUGAUUGGUAUUCAGUUAUUCUGCACAUUUAUUAAUUUUGUUUUUGUGUUUGAAUUGGAGAUAUGGAUUUAGAUUUGUAGUUAGUUAUCCUUGGGAAUGACCCUUUUGAAAUUAUGGCAAGAAUGUUUGUAAAUGUUUCCUUUCCUGAUUUCUAAGUAUUUGUGUGGAGUAGCAAGGGUGAUAACACAAUAGGAGUGUAUAUGUAUGGACUGAAAAUAAUGGAAUUAUCUGGUAGUACAAGAGGGAAAGAACGCGAUGAAUGAGGGAACUUUGGUUAGAAUGUGAAAUAGUCUCUGACUAGUCCUACUUGGAUAAUUUGAACUGGUAACAAGUUAACAUGAGUUAGAUUGAUUAUGUCAUUGCAGUGGAUUAGGUGAAAUAAGAUUUAUCAUCAUAUCUAAUUUUGGGAUUUGGAUGAUGGGUGCACGUCUUAUAACAUGGACAGGGCAAGCCUUUGUGUGAUAUUUCUAGAAAAGGGAUUGCAGAGGACAAUAUACACAACCUAGUUUGUGAUUAAACAGAACUGUUAUGUUCUGCAGUAUGCCAAUGUAUGUCUCUGGAUGUAAUUGGGCUGAGAAUGUUUAAUUGAGUUGAGGUAAUGCAUAUAUGGAGUAUAAUAUAUUUGACUAUCAGUUUUGCCUUUAAUUUGAUGACUGCAUUUCUUGCUGUCUUUUCCUUCUCUUCCCCCCUUUAGAGCACUAGGUUGAACAAUGAUCAAUUGUACCAGAGAUGGGGUGAGUUAACUAGCUUUUGAUUUUUUGUCUUUCUAUCUACAUUCUACAAUAAGGUAUUGGACUAGCCUCUUAGUUCUAUUGGAGAAUUCUGGCCAAUAACUAAAGGAUAGGGUUUAGUCAAAUUAGGACUGCAGGGUGUACAUAUAAGUUCAGCUAUGGUUGUGAAAAUUGUGCAAGUACCUGAUCUGUUGCAGUCCUGAAUACUAGCUGAUUGAUUUAAUAUUUGGUUCUGAAUUAAUUAAUGUUGAAUAGAAUCUUUACAUUGUCACAUCAGUGGAUAGAUGAUGUGUAUUAGAGAUCUAGACUUAUAGCAUUUUCACUGGAAAUUAAACUUGAUGGAAAUUGAAAAAACUUCCAGCUAAUUGCGUCAGUUGCUUCUGCCUUUAUUUCUUUCUGCUUGUAUUAUUGAUAUUUCCUGUCUGCCUUUGUUGCUUUCUUCUUGUAUUAUCGAUAUUUUUCCUGUCUGCUUGGCUUGCUUCUUGCUUCAAACCAAUAUGAACAUCUUGGCCUUUUAAGCAGUUUUUUUCACUCAAACAAUGUUACAAAAGCCAAUGCUUUUUAUGUAAUUUGCAGUCUCUGGGGUGGGUCUAUUCUCAACUUGGGAACUAAAAAGCAUAGGGAUAAAUACUUUGAUGGUAUAGACAACAUGGAGUACCCUGGGUGUUUUGCAAUGACAGAGCUUCACCAUGGUAUGCUCUUCCACCUGAUCAAUACUACUAUAGCAUUGUUACUUGUAAUUUUUUUUUAAAGCACGUUCCAACCAAUUUGUUUUGAAUGAUGAGGUUAUGAUUGCUGUAUUUUCUGUUAAUAUUUAAGCAGACAUCAAUCCCGUUUCAUUUUCCCUUCUGUAGUGCAAGUGCAACUGCAUGCUACAGAAUUUCUAAAACAGUAUCGUUUGAUCAUGUUGUUCUCUUACAUAAAUACUAGGUUUCACAAGUUUGUUUAACUUAUGCAAAGAAGAUGCACUUUCCUGUUUUGGGAAGCCAAUUGAAAGAAAGUUGUUAUGCUGAUAUUUCUUUCCAGGAUUAAUUUUUUAAGUAGUACUCUAAUUGGUCAUAAUCCAUAUUCCAACUGCUUCAGUUUUAAUUACCUUUUCUCAAAUAAUUUGUCAGAGUGCUUUUUUUUCUGAUCCUCUCUCAUUCGGUUAUUUUGAAAAGGAUCAAAUGUUCAAGGCCUUCAGACUGUUGCAACAUUUGAUCCACUAACAGAUGAAUUCAUUAUCAACACACCAAAUGAUGGAGCUAUCAAGUGGUGGAUUGGGAAUGCUGCAGUCCAUGGAAAGUUUGCCUCAGUUUUUGCCAAGCUGAUGUUACCAACUCAUGAUACAAAAGGUACUUCUGAUAUGGGUGUUCAUGCCUUUAUUGUUCCAAUUAGGGAUCUCCGGACCCAUAAGCCGCUGCCUGGGGUUGAAAUACAUGAUUGUGGCCAUAAAGUUGGCCUCAAUGGAGUAGAUAAUGGAGCACUAAGAUUCUGUUCAGUGAGGAUUCCACGAGAUAAUCUUCUUAAUCGUUUUGGAGAUGUCUCACGGGAUGGGAAAUACACCAGCAGCCUGCCUAGUAUCAGUAAAAGAUUUGGAGCUACAUUAGGGGAACUUGUAGGAGGAAGAGUCGUCCUUGCAUAUUCUUCAAGCGGUGUCCUUAAGAUUGCUGCCACAAUUGCUAUAAGGUAUUCUCUACUGCGCCAGCAGUUUGGUCCUCCCAAGCAACCUGAGAUUACUAUACUUGAUUACCAGUCUCAUCAGCACAAGCUAAUGCCAAUGCUGGCUUCAACUUAUGCAUUCCAUUUUGCCACACUUCACUUGGUGGAUAAAUAUUGUGAAAUGAAGAAGACACAUGAUGAAGAGUCGGUUGGGGAUGUCCAUGCACUCUCUGCUGGACUCAAGGCCUAUGUUACCUCUUAUACUGCAAAGUCGUUGAACAUAUGUAGAGAAGCUUGUGGAGGCCAUGGUUAUGCUGCCGUAAAUAGGUUUGGUAGCUUGAGAAAUGAUCAUGAUAUAUUCCAGACAUUUGAAGGGGAUAACACCGUUCUUCUUCAGCAGGUUUUAUCUGGAUCUCAAUCUAUUUUUAUAAUGCUCUCUUGUGAUAUAUGCACUCUGAUUCUCAUGGACACUGAGACAUCUAUAUGCUUAUAAGGACCUUCUGCAUUGUAGUAGAUUAAAUCAUGACUCUUUGAGGAAUCUUGCUGCAAUAGUUGGUUGGAGGGCGGGCUUUAGUAAGUUGAGGUGCUAAAUUGUGUUGAAACAUGACAUUCUUAAGUCUCACUCUCACAGUUCAUCACAUCCGCUUGAAAGAUGGUCAGGCCUGUGCUAGUAGAUCAUAUUAUGCAGGAUUAGGUGGUACAGUGUUUUUUAUUUGAGGCUUUUAAAUUACUCCUACCUUAUAUAUCCACCCCUUCUUGUUUAUAGAUGGUGAAGCACAUCUCAGUGGAUUGGUAGGUAACUUGUUCUGCUAAUUUGUUGCUUUUUGAUGACUAAGAUUCUGCUUUUUCCUCAGCAAAAUUUAUGAUUGAACUAUCCUGAAAGACUCCUCUUAGAUGGUGAUUAAUAUCUAGUGGAAUUGUUUAUUCAAAUUUAUAAUGUAAUUCAGGUGGCGAUUGACUUAUUGAAGCAGUAUCAACAGAAGUUCCGGGGGGGAUCACUUGCCGUCACAUGGAACUAUUUGAAAGAGUCCAUGAACACUUAUCUUUCUCAGCCUAACCCAGUAACUUCCAGAUGGGAAGGUGAAGACCAUCUGCGGGAUCCAAAAUUCCAGUUGGAUGCCUUCAGAGUGAGUUUGAUUAUCUGAUGUAAAACAGGAAAUGGAUAGAAUGCCUAUACCUUGUAGUUGAUGUAACAUUUUUUGUGCAGUAUCGUACAUCUCGAUUGCUUCAAAGUGUUGCUGCCCGACUUCAGAAACACUCCAAAACUCUUGGAGGGUUUGGUGCUUGGAAUAGAUGUUUGAAUCACCUUUUGACGCUUGCUGAGUCCCAUAUUGAAUCUGUCAUUCUUGAAAGAUUCAUUGAAGCAGUGCGAAGGUACCUAUAUUUCUAGCCCUCAGUUCUUCCCUUUUCCUCUUAAUAAUUGAGUUUGACUCUGGCUGCUUUUUGCUUCAGCUGUCCUGAUGAAGGUUCCCGAAGUGCUCUGAAGCUUGUUUGUGAUCUUUACGCUUUAGAUAGAAUUUGGAAUGAUAUAGGGACUUAUCGCAAUGUGGACUAUGUGGCCCCAAACAAAGCUAAGGUAUUAAAGCUGAUUCAGAUGAUAACCAUGAUUAAGAAAAUUACGUGCUUUCACGAUGAUUAUUUGUCCAUCAGAGAAGAAUUCAUAUCUAUCAAGCUAUCUUUUCAGAGACCCUGUUCUAGUGUCUUUGUAUGUUACUCAUUCUGACUGAUGUCACAUAAUGACAUUUGUACUGUCCAGAAUCCGCUGCAGUUCCUGAUUUGAUAGUACUUAUACUCAUGUUUAUAGGAUGCCAUAUUUGUGCAGGCCAUUCACAAGUUGACAGAGUACCUGAGUUUCCAAGUUAGGAAUAUUGCAAGGGAACUUGUUGACGCCUUUGAUCUUCCAGAUUAUGUCAUCAGGGCUCCGAUUGGAUUGCAGACUGCAGGCGAAGCUUAUUCACAGUAUACUCAACAUGUUGGCUUCUAGUUCCAGAGAGAAAGCUGGGUCCUUUUUACUUUCCCCUGUUCUUGAUCUGCACUGGAAAGGAAGAAGUCGGAGUUAUAGUUUUGUUGUUACUUCGAGGAAUAAAAAUAUGAACAGUGGUUACCGCUAUAUUUCCUCAUCUUACUUUCUCAAAAUUUCGAAUUUCGUAAAGAUAGCAGAUUGAUACUUCAGCAGAAAUGCUGAUCCUUUGAUAGAUAAUUGUAACUUGCGUAUACAAAGAAUAUCUAAACGUGAAUCUCCUAUACAAGAAAUAUUCUUGAUGUCACCAAUUUGAAAGGAUCUGCUGUCUCUGAAAGUGUUUGUUCUUUUGAAGGAAAUCCAGAUGCGACAGCUUCUGAUCUAUUUAAUUUGGCUCUCUGGACAAGAGAAACUUGAUGACUUCAUUUAGGUUCCCAUAGACAAUUUAAUCUUAUCAGAUGACGCGUUUGCCAGCACAUGACUGAUUAUGAAUGAGAUGAAAUAAUUUACAAUACCAUCAACAGCAAGUAUUAGUCUCAUUUGAUUCCUCCACUUUUUCUUCUGUAUAACUGAGGAAGCCAAAUAAAGAUGAAAUGCCAUUUUGACGGUGUGCCAUGUUGGGGUUCAUAUGUCACUUCAGUAAACUUUCUAUCAAAUGCAAACUACAUACGACAUGAACACUGUUGGUUCAACUGCUUCUCUUUUGGGAUAUUGUUGUUACAACGCAGUUAUGCUGAUCAAGGCUCCUUAAUUGCCACCACCUAGUUGCCAAACACCAGAAACCUUUGCCCUGGUAUCGUAGCUUAUGCAUCCAGCUGAAUGCAAGCAGACCAAGAUUUAAGUCCACAAACUAAUCACCAAGAAAGAAAUCAGAACAGGAAAACAUUUAGAUAAGAACAAAAAUACAAGGAUCUGCACAAUGCCUUGAAACACAAGUCCCCUUUUACCCAUCCAGUUAAGCUAUGUAAAAGAUAAGAAUUCCAUCCUCCUGUUCAUUAGAGUUCCUAUUCUCACCAAGCUGUUGGUUACAAUCAAACACAAAAUAUACCUCAUAUGGUAUGUGACCUUGGUGGUGGUCUGUAAUUGUAAUAUGCAUUUAUAGCUGUCAAACUUUUCUGCUUAACAUCUUCGUACAUUUUCUGUGAAGCCUCAGAAAACUUGGUUAGACUGUCCAAUACCUUUGCCAAACUUGUUUGUAAGCUAUUCAAAUUUGCAGACCUGUCAUCAAUUUUCUCUUCAUUGUUGCACUCCAAUUCUCCAUUAUUGCCAGCUUCGGGCGUGUUUUCUUUCUUGGGUGGUUCAUCAGCUUGAUGUCCAAUUGACUGGCGAAGAUCAGAUAAAAAGACUCUGAUUGCAUCACUAAGUUCUUGUGAUGGCAAACAUUUGAUGCCGGCAGACAACUCACGACAGAGAGCGAAUAUUGGUGGUGGUAAAACUGGACGAGGAGAAAAUACUCUUCUGCCCUUGUAUCGUUCUUGAGGCUGCAAGAUGCAGUUCUGUAGCCAACUGUUUAGAGCUUCUACAUAUGAUGUGAGACUGUUGAUCCAAUCAGCAAAACUCAAGCCAAAACAUUCUACUUCAUGCAGCAGCUGCAACAUGAUAUCCUUGUGCGCAUCUCCUUGGGCAGUCCCUCCCGAGGUCUUUGAAUGGUAUGCUAACGAGAUGGUUAUAUACUGUGAAUAAUGACACUCAAGCAUCCAUUUCCACAUCCAGAUUAAUCUGCUAGGGAACACCAAUGACAAAAUUCAAACUAUGAGAGUCCUAAACCAACUAAAUUUAGUUCCAGUCUUCAAAAAACUGGAGAGCUGGUACUCGUGAUUUAUGUACCAACCGAAAGGAUCUUGAAAACCACCAAAGUACAAACUUUAUACAUUUAAAAGCAAAGGUAAUGCAGAAGGAAUCUCACCCUUGAAUAAGUUCCAAAAGUUGGGGCAACAAUUCAUCAUCCCUCAGUCUCUCAAUCCGCUUUGAGAUUGAAUCAACAGCAUGAAGGGCAACUGAAAUUCGUGAAUGCAAAUGUUUUACCACAGCUCUGGUUUUGUCAAUUACUUGGGCACUAAGAUCCUUUGCAGAUUGGUGCCUGAGCUGGUUGCACUUUCGGUCAUACUCCUUCUGGAUAGAUUCACUGGCCUACAAAGGUAAAUUGAAAAAGAAGUGAGGUUCAAAACACAUAUAUAGGACAGAAUGCUCCAAUUUGAAAAUGAAAUCUAAGAAUCUAUGUUGCAAUCUGCUGCUAAUAUCAUUCAUCCAAAGCAAAAACUUUGUUGAAAUUCAGAUGUUAUACCACAUGCAAGUGAAUCCAUCCUUCGCAUAAUACCAUAGGACACUUAAAAUCAUUUUCACAUAGUGAAAUUACUCCAUACCAACCUGCAGUCAUGUUUAAACCCAAUUGAAUUAGAUUAGUUUACUCAAAUCUCUGAUCAUAGGGUGAUCCACUGGUUAAACUGACAGAUCAUCUUGUUCAAAAGAGUGUCACAUGAUCUUUAAAUUAGUUAAAUGUAGGGUAAAUCAAUUAUCAGAUGUUUGAUAGUGUAAAUAAGAAAUUAACUAAGAAGAAAUAAUUAUUGGUUAUUGGUGGAAUUUCAAAAUGUUUGAUUUGUGCAAUAGAAGAAGACAGAAGAGUCUUGGAUGAUGCUUUAGGAUAUAGCACUGAGUUUUAUAUGCUGAACCUGCAAAAAUUGAAUGUUAAUCUCUAUAAGAGAAAUGACACUCCAAAUAAAACAGAUCGAGUAUAUAUUGUUGCCCAAUUAAAUUUAAAAUAUUAUUCGCUGACCCUAAAAGUUAGAGGAAGAACCUCAGCGAUUUGUCAAAUAUUAAUCAACCAUAUAAUGCUCUGGCUUCAGUUCAUAGUGACUAUACUAAUUUUUCUUUUAAACGAGAAAUGUUUUUGGUUCAAUUAGUUUAUAUUGACACUGCACUUUCGCGAUCCUGAAAAUGAGGAAAAGAACACACUAGAAAAAACUUUACAGAUAUGUAUGUAUGUAUGUAUGUAUGCAUGCAUGCAUGAAGAACCAAAGACACCCAAACAUCCAAAGAACAUCUGAGGACUACAUUUCUGUUGUUUAGUCAAUAAAAUUUGCAUAUAACUGUACUUCUCAGAGGUGUCUCAAUCUUCGAUUAUACCAUCAUGGAAAAAUAAUGGUACGACACUCCAUUGACAUCAAAGGACAAGCCCCAUUCUCCAAAAUGCUAUCAGUGUCUAAACGCUAUUAAUCUCUUACUUAAGGGAGGCUGAAGAGAAAGGGACAACUUUAGGCUUUGGCAGGGAAUAAUUUUGAUAAUUCAACAAUUAAGGGAAUGGGAAAGCAACACCUAAUGAUGAACAAACAGAAAAGUCCAUUAAAGUUGACUGUACUAUCUUUUGAGUUUGUGCUUUUCUUUUGUCACUAUUAUUUUGCUUUUUCCCACACCUGCUGCCUUCUAUCUGAAGAUUUCAUCCUAGAUAAGUUGCUUAGAUGUACCACCAAAAGAAGUUAGAAGAACGUAUGUACAUACCUUCAUAUUUUGAUGCAAAUGACAUAUCAAAGGAAAACUGAUAUAAUAUGAAUUAAAAGAUCAAAGUACAAGUUAUAUGAAUAGUUGAAGAUGCAGGAGCUUUAAGCAUCAAAGAAGUUCGCAAGGAAAAUAAGGGAAUUAACUUAAUUAGAGCCAAAGAAGUGUAGCAAAAGACAGAAAACAAUGUAUGCUCAUCUACACCAAUUUUCAUUCUGAAUCAGCAAGCGCAAUAUGCCAUUUAAAGCCAUGUCAUGCAACAGACUUUGAACUUCAGUACACGAACCAACUUGGUAACCUAACGAGUCUAUAAAACAAGAAUUAUCAUUAACUUGUUGACAGGGAAAAACCUUGAGAACUUACAGGAUUUAACAUAACAAGAGAAUUUUUCAACAGAGACGGACAAAAGCAACACAAAAGAUGUACCUUGACUUCAUCAUAUAACUUCCUCUCCCAUGCAUAGAGUCUAUCCAAGGUAGAAGAAUGACUUCCAGCAGCCAUGCAGAACUCCUCCAUGAAGUCACUACUACUACCGUCAUUGUCAUCUUUAGUAAGAGGAGUUCUUGAAGAAGAGGACCUUGAAGAUGUUGUCCGCUUCCAUGUAAUAACCUUUGUUGCGUGCUGCUCUGGAUCUGCUCAAGUAUAAGAAGUUUUUUAAAAAAAAUAAAAAGAGCAUGGUCAAUCACACAUGUUUGUGAAGAAACAUUCUCCUUUGUCAUCAUUACCUUAAAAUCUACAAACUUGAACUCAUCGAUGAAGAAAAGCUCCAACACUGUUGCAAUUUAUAUAAAUCUAAGGAAUUCUUGCUGAACUAGAUACCAAACCUUAGUUUAUCAUAUCUCCAAGUCCAAAGGAACAAUCACAUUGCCAGAAUGGCUGGGGAUGGAGCACAGAUAAACAAACAGUAUGCAUUCAAGAAUCUAUACUUAAAAGUGAUGACGACCAAUCUCAAACAACACACGACCUUAUUUAAUUAGAACCUCCUCAAUGUCUAAACUUUGCUAAGUGGAAAAUUACAAAUGAAAUUCCAUAACAUCAUUGAUAUUAACAAUGUUUUGUUAGAAAAAAGAAAAAGUAAAUAAAACUCACCAUCAGAUACGUUUGCAUUUUUUCCUUGGCAGCAAGCUGUUUUGAAAGAAGCCAAAUAAACUGCAACUGGUGCUUUUCCUACAAGAAUGAUAUAAGCUCAGCAUUUGCAACCAGAAAAUUUGCCAUAAGAAGAGGCACAUGCAAUAAUCCAAAUGUUACAUUACUAAAAAGUAGUUAAUAAGCAAGUCAAUAUCACCAACAAAUAGUUACCUUUAGCUUCAGCAUAUCCAACUUGGAUUUUAUUUGCCUCAAGCAUCCUAGAAAUUCCUUUCCCUGAUUCAGAUGCUUUGGAAAACCAGUGCUCAAUGUCUUUUAUACUAGGCAGAAAAUCUUUAGCCCUGUGAGUAAUGAACUCUGAAGGAUCCUCUCUGUCAGUGCACAUGUCCUUCCCCACUGCAGACUUAUCUCUCCUGGAGAUUGACUGCUCAGAACCUGUUUUGCCCACUGAUGUUCCAACAGAGCCAUUCCUUUUUGGUUCUAUGUUCAUAUCCUUAACUUCACUAUCAACUACUGGCUGAGGACCACUUUGAGUCCUUUGAGGUAUAGAUGAGUUCCCAUUGUACACAACCAACUUGCUAUUGCUCUGCACCUUUGAUUUUGGUGUCACGAACACUUCAUCCAUUUCAUUGUUGCUAUUAAAACCCGCAUGUUUUUCCCCAACAACGCCAUGCAUUUUCACAUCAUCGAAAUCCAGAGGCACAUUGUUAUCCCCAACAAAUCUAAAGCUCUCAGAAUCAUCAAUUGGAUAAAAAAAGUCCCAAGAAGAUCCUGAUUCAGGAGGUGGAGGUGGAGGUGGAGGCGGUGGUGGUGGAGGCGUCACGUACUCAUCAUCACCCACAUACAUAUUCCUUGGUAAAUUUGGAAUCAUCCUAACAGUCACAGCACUAGUCCCACCUGACAUCAUAUAACUCAUCCUAGCAUUGGGUGGUGAAAGGGGGCUCCCAUUAAGCACUGGAGAACCUGAAACACCCCCAAUGUGAGAUGGCGAGGGCGACAGAUACGAAGAAUGUGAAGGGGUUUUUUCCAGUUCAGUGGCUGAAGUAGGUAUAGAGGACUCUAUAAGUGCUUCAGCCUCAGCAUAUCUCCUAAGAGCAUUCCCAAUAUUUCUUAAUGAUUCAACAUAAGCAACAUGAGCAGCUGCUAAAGCAUAUCUUGAUUCAAUAGCUCGUUUGAUAAAUCUUGUCCUUUCUUUGCAUAGUCUUAAAGCUUCACUCCUCCCCUCUUUUGAGCUUGUUACACCCAUCUCUCUUUUACCAUCAAAUCAAGCAUACCACUUUAUCAAAGAAACCAACAUUUUUGGCUUUUCUUCAGCAUAAUCAUAGCACAUUUCUCUCAGAGCCUAUAAACCAAUCCUAUUUCAGUAACUAAUGACAUUUCAUUCAUAUAAACAAACUCCACUUGCCAACCAAAAUUUCACAAAACAAAUUAGAACCCAGAAAAGGAAAUGAGCUAAGAACCAAGAAAUCAAACCUCUGCAGUACCUUCUUGCACUCAAAUUUUGGCCUCAAACUUCAGAAGAGCAAAUGCAGCACAAAACAAAGCAACCCUUUUGAGAAGCCUGGAGGCUGGAGCAGCAUGUCUUCCAAGAAACCAAAAUCCACUUAAAAAAGCCUUUCUUUUGAUAAAUAAGAAAAAGCCCACUUGAAAAUGACUCCAAAGUUCUGAGCUUUUUGGUUUUGUGAAAGUAACAUUCCAGUUUCACACUGAAAAAAGGACCCCAAACUCUCGGUUAUUUCAUGAAAGAAUCAAAAGACUUGAGACUGAGAAAAUGUUCUUUUUAAGCAAUAAAAAUGAAAGCUGAACAGACUAGGAAAUAAAAGGAGUAGAUGAUGGGUUCAAUCUGCAUAAUCAAUCCAUCCACGAAUUUCAGUUUCAACCUUUUUUAUGGUCUGAGAACAGAGGAGUUUGUUGUGUAACAGAGAGGUGAUGUGAGCAAGAAAUGCAGAAACUAUGAGACAAAAAAGGAGCAAAAGUGAGAGAAAGGAAUAUGGCACAGUAGAUACACACACUACGGCGGCAUUGCCUUGAUAUCUGUGCAAAUGCUAAUCUACAUUGAUUUAUUAUUGAUUCAUUCACUCAUUCCCGUUUAAUUACUUGCCGAACUAGCCAAAGUUAAAUCAAAUGACAAAAAUGUGUAGAAUCUAGUCUGGAACUCUGCCAUGGAAUGUACAUACAGUACAUCUAUAUAUAUAUAUAUAUAUAUAUAUAUAUAUAUAAACUUCAUUAGUAUCACGAAUUUUUUCUUUUUAAUACUCCAGGAAAAGUUUUUAGUAUCAUUGAUUGGAUAUACAUUUUUUGAGUUUUGUGUUUAGACGAUUUUAGUAUAACAAUUUUAUCCAAAUCUGUUUUUUUUUUUCAGCCUGUCCCAAGUCAAUUAGAUCAGCCAAACAUAUGCGUCAUUUAGAAGCCAGAAGUGAGAAGAGGAGAUUGGAAUCCAUAAUUUUUAAGUUAUAGAGCUUUACCUACCUUGGAUAAGAAAUUAUUUGAAAUAUUAUUUAGAAUAAAUAAUGUGGCAUUUAUUUGUAACGUAAUAUAUGUAAGAUAAAAAGAUAAAAAAGUGUGUUGAAAAUUAUAUUUGUGAUGCAAACAAAAGAAAAAUAUUUGUUUUUUUUUCCUAAACUUCCAAAGAAGGAGACAUAAAGAGAGAAAAUUCUUUCUUGCUUUGCUUACGCAACCGUUUUGUCCCUUCCAUCUUAAUUCCCUUGCCUUAGCAACUUAUAAAUUGGCGUAACUCGUGUAAGAUGCAAUAUUUCAUGGCCAAAGAUCCAUUUUCUUUAUUUCACGGGUCCAUUUGAUUGCAUUUUUUUUGGGAAAUUUUCGAACUUUUGUACCAAAAAAAAACAUUGUAUUAACUUUUUGAAAUAUAACGUGUGUAACCAAUAAAAGAUGGUUCAGCAAUGUGUUAAAUAGGAGAUAUUCUUCAAAAGUACAAGAAAAUCUUUUAUCUCUUAAAAGUUUUCUCGGCCAGAAAUUUCCAUUUAGAUAGUUCUUGCUUGGGUAAAUUCAAGUCAUUUGGAUUACUAUUUUUAGGAGUUUUUGAAAAAAAUAUACUGUAAUAAUUUGAUAAAUAUGAGAUAAAAAAAUAAUUAAAAAUUAUACUUACGAAAAACAUAAUUUUUUUUUUGUUUGUAAAAUAUCACAAUCCAAACAAAGUUGGCGAUGAGCCAAGGCCGUUCGAGUUUAGUCCCAUGCAGCAUCACUGCAUGGUACUCUAUCAAUAUCAGUAUGUAGUAGUAAAUUUGUCAGCUUUGGCAGUUGUGCAGCGUUGGAGCUUUUGUUGGAAAAUGUGCGCCUUGGUCUUUCCAAUAGACCCUCCAAGGCUCCCAUAAAUCAGGCCUCCUUUGGUCCACUCUUUUGAUUUUUUGGAUCCCAUUUUGUUUUAGUAUUAUUAUUGGCUAAAAAAAAAAAAGUUUUAUGUGAUAAAUUUAAUAUAUAGAAAAACUCUUUGUAGUUUUAAAACGUACAAAAUGAUACCUUAUACUUUGAACAAAAUUAUAAAGAUUACGGAAUUCGUUAAACUUAACAGGAACAGACGAAAUAACAAAAAUAUCCUAAUAUAAUUAAGUAAAAGACAGUUCAACAAAAUCAUUUGUUUUCAUUCUAUAGAGAGAGAGAGUUGGGAGUUAAGGAGUAUAAUAGAUAUAUUUGUAAAUGUUUUCAUUAAUUUUAACAGAUUCCGUCACCUUUAUAAUUUAUUUCGAAAUAUAAUGUAUCAUUUUAUACAUUUUGAAACUAUGUGAGGUUUUCUGUAUAUUAAAUUUAAUACAAUGGACUUUUUUGUUUUUUACCCAUUAUUAUUUGAUGGAGAAAAACCAGGGUCAUGGCCUUUGGCUUUUGUCUGUGGGUAUUGCUGUUGCUGUUGCUUUUUUGCUGGCUGCAAUUUGUAUUUUGUAGUGGAGGUCAUGUAGGUGAGGAGACAACCCCUUCGUUUUCUCUUUCUUCUUCUUCUAAUUUUUUACAAUUAUGUUUAAAUUUCUUUUUCUACAUCCUGCGUUUCUAUUGCUGCAUAUAAAUUUUGAUAAUAAUUUGUUGAAAACUUUUAUUUUAUGGAUAAAUAUAUAUAAUUUCUUACAAAAUAUAUUUAAUUUCAUAAGUUAUUAUUAUAAAUUAAAAUAAAUAUAUUUUAUUAUAAAAUCUAAGUAUUUUCUAUUUAUAUGAGCCAUUCUUAUUAUUUAAAUGUUAUGAUAUAUCAAAUGUUGUUAAACAAAAGAAUAAAAUAUUUUUAUCAAAGAUGAACCGCGCUUAGUUUCUUAAAAUAACAUAUGAUAAUCUAAUACUUUACAUAAUGAAAUAAUUAUAUAUAGAUUAAGCCUUAAAAAAUUCUUAAUAAGAAUAACCAAGAAAAAAAAAACAAUAUGUAUAGUAAAUAUGUAUCUCUAUUUUUUAAUCUUAAUAAGAAAGUUUUGAUAAAUAUAUAACUUAAUUUAAUUAUCUUUGAUAAAGAUAGACUACUUUUAAUUUUUGCUAAUGAUUUAGGAUAAUUAAAUAUUUUUAUAAGAAAACAACGCUAAAUAUUUAGUCAUAAAAAGAAAUAUUCAGCAUAUUAUUGUCAAAAAUUAUAUAUCAUUAAAAAAUUCGAAGGAGUAACAAGAUCCAAACAUAAUAAAGAAAAGAAGAAGAAAAGGAAGAAAAAUGAAAAGGCUUAUAAGACAACUUUUCACAAUGAGGGAUAUAAUUAUAUUGUUUGCUGGUAACAUACAUAUGAUUAACAGUCAUAAGAAGGCAACUUGUAGAUUGGUGAAUAUAGAAAGUGAUUUGCUAUUGAUGCCUAAUUAUAGGGAACAAUUACGGAUGACAAUUGGGGCGGGUGCUUGCGGGAGGCUAAUGGGACGGGGCAGGAGAGAAAUUUUUCCCCGUGUGAAAACAGGGCAGAGGACAGGGGUCCGUCACCUGUUAACAAAAAUUAAUAUAUAUGUAUAUAAUUAUAUAUAAUAUUUAAUGUAAUAAGUUACAAACUUAUAAUAAUAAUAAUAUUAGUUAUAUGUAUUAUAUAAUAUAUAUUAGUAUAUGUAAUAUAAUUGAUAUUAUCAAUUAUACUAAUAAUUAUACAUGUCUACUAAUGAAAAUUGUUAAUUAGUUAUACUAAAUUUACUAGUACAUUUAUACUAAAUUCCUAAUUACACUUAACACAAUAACAUUUUUUCUCAAAAAAAUAAUGACUUAGUGAUUAUACUUGUGUCAAAAGUGAAAACUUGACUAUUUUAGUUGUAUUUGUUUAUCUUGUUGGAUUGCAUUCAAAUAACUUUUGCUUGAUUAUUUUUAUGGGUUUUAAUUGUAAAAUUACAAUGAAUAAUAACUUGGUGAUGUGUUAAUACUUCUGUAUUUGAUUAUUUGCUAAAAUUUGAUUAUAGUGAAAUUAUAUGACAAAUUUUUAUUAACCUCGCUAUGAAAGAUGGGGUGGGGUGGAAGGAGCGUGGAGCAGGAUGAGAGCGGGGAAUUAGUGGGCAACAGGGCGGGGGAAUUCCUAGGAACAAUAUGUAAUUUAGCCUUUAAAUAACAUAAGAUAAUGACACCACUUCACUUGUUAUUCCCUUUUUUUUCCUCUCACUGUCCUAGUAUCGCGUAAACCAGCAUCUCAAUAUUUCACCUUGCACUUAGCGGUUAGCAAAAGCCUUUGGUCUGGUGGUUGCUAUCAAGCACCGAAGUCUUGGUAGUAUUGGAUUCAAUCCUUGUUUCUUACUAAAUUGCCACUAUAUAUGGCUGCCUUCAGUGACUUUCUCCUAGGGAGAUACACACGUGUGAAAAAGAGUUCAUCUACACUAACUACUUAAAAAAAAACACAAUAAGUAUGUUUGGAUAGUCAAAUAAUGGUAAAAAAUUAUUUGUUUGCAUCACAAACAUAAUUUCCAACAUAUCUUUUUAUCUUUUCAAUCAUUUUUUUAUCUCACAUAUAUCAUAUCAUAAAAAUGUUACAGUAAUUAUUCCAAAUAAUAUUUUAAAUAAUCUCCCGUCCAAAAAUAUGUUUAAAUGAUAUACGAACAUGAAACUUUUAAAAAUCAAGAGGUGGGCCAUCUUCUUCUGUUUUGUAACUAUCUAUUAGUUGUAUGUAUGUCGCUUAAAGUACGAUUUUUCAUAUAAAAAAAUUAAGGCAGACUUUGGGUACUCGAUAAGAAGUCUUUAGUGUUAAUUUUUUGAUAAAGUGUAAUUAAGUCUUAAAAGUCUAAAUAAUCAUUAUGAAUAUAUAUGAACCUUAGUGAAAUCAGUUAAACACUGGUACUCAUCUGAAAAAGAUAGUCAAGGAAAGCAAACAAAGUGGACAGAUCUGGAUUAAUUAAUUGGACUCAUUUUGCUACCUAUAAAUAUCCAGUUAUUCAUUGGCUGUUUCGAACUUGUGCAACAUAAACACAUCAAACAGAGUGGACGAGCCCAUUCCAAAAUUGUGACGUUAUCUUCGACCCAUUAAUUUGGGCCUACACCUUUUAUCUCGAGUGCUUAGGGCCCAAAAUGGAAAUGCAGGGAAAUCAAAGUUCCCUCGCAAAUACUAGCUUGUAUUCGUAUUCCUGUCGGAAUUGCAAUUUAUCUUAAUUGGUGCUGUCACUAUAUUAUCUUAUGGUCUGAAAUCUGAUCACAAAUCCGCUGAUUAUGGACGGAAAUUCAGCACAAACCCUUGCUUAGCUAAAGAUAUCAUCAUGGAAAUGUUCUGUAGAAACUGGUUAAAUUUUUUACUAUUUGUAAGUUUUGGCGUAACUUUAUUAUCUCAAAUCAAAUAUUCAUCAGAUACCAUUUUCAACGAUCAAUAAGUUUAAUCCAUAAUUCCAAUGGCCUUAGGACUAAAGAAAUCGUCAUGUAUGGUUCUAGAUUUAGUGGAAAUUGCUACUGUGGCAGAAUUUCAUGCGAUCAACUGCAAGAAUUCGUGAAUGCGAUCAACUGCUGUUUCCAUUCCUUCUUGUUUAGCAGAAGAAGUUUUGUUUAAUUUUGUAAAAAAAAAUUCAACUUUCUGAAAUAGUUUCUUAGAACAAUACUCGGCAAGUUUGGAUCGUGAAAGAUUACAACGAUGAAAAUUCUUGGACAGAACAAUUUGAACUCGGCAAGUUUUAAAUUCUUGAGCACAGACAAUAUUUAGCAAAGAAAACACAACGCUGAAACUCUUAACCAAGACUCUAGUUUCUGAACUACAGCAUUGAAGGAUAAAACCGUACAGACAUUUUUACUCGUGAAGCCUUUGUCAAAGAAUUGAGAGGCUUCAGAAAAACUUGAGAAAGGAAGACUUCUAUCCUUAUCUUUGGUUGUUAUUAUGGGUAGGAAGACCUCCAUUUAUUACUACCUUACAAGGCAUGAACAUGAUUCAUGCUCCAAUACUGUAAGAAACUUGCAUUUGUUUCAGGUCAACAGGGGCUU